This 55686-nucleotide long non-coding RNA is filed under the name Vitis vinifera (wine grape). Its description in RNAcentral is "long non-coding RNA (VVIN_LNC005254)". The record is from RNAcentral. Lineage: Eukaryota; Viridiplantae; Streptophyta; Magnoliopsida; Vitales; Vitaceae.
AGUAGUCGCUGAUCAGUUUGGAAAACCUGCGGAUGGCAGUGAUCAUAUGAAAGCCUUGGCUGACUUAAAAUCCAAAUUUCGUCGACUAGAAAAUGAAGAGGAAUCUGAAUCUCCAUUAUCAUCAAGUGUAAAGCCACAACGUCCCUUAUCAUCAAGUGUAAAGCCACAAUGUCCCAUGGUUCCAAAGAGGUUGCGACCAGAUGUCAAGGGUGCUGAAGACUACUACUAUGCGCCAAAACUCAUUUCUUUGGGUCCUUACCACCAUGGCAAGCCCCACCUCAAGGAUGGAGAAACGCUCAAGCUUAAAUUGGCAGAAGCCUACAUCCAAGAAUGUGAGCCAACAGUGGAUGAAAUUUACAACACAAUUAGCGAUAGCAUUAGUGAGCUGAGGGGCUGUUAUGAUGCGGAGUCGACAAAGAAAUAUAAGGAUGACGAAUUAACCAUCAUGAUGCUGGUGGACGGGUGUGCUCUACUCUGUUACAUUUUAUGCGUUUGCUUAGGUUAUGGCCAUGAAGAUUUCAAUAUCAGAUAUCAGGAUAUAAGCCUUCUGCACCAGGAUGCGUUGCUGCUGGAAAACCAACUUCCCUAUCAAUUACUCCUUGAGCUGAUGAAGAUGGUGGACCCAGGAUCAGCCAAUGAUUUUUGGACGGCCAUGUUCCAGGAAUUCUUCGGCAUCAGCGACGAGUCAAUAUUUCAGGAAUUUAUCGGUAUGAAGAAGAAGGAGUCAUUCCUGCAAAAAAUGAAGAAUUAUUGCCCCCGCCUAUUCCUCCCAAUCAACCAAAUUAUUGACCCCAAAUCGAAGCCGCAAAGUCCUAAUAACGAGUCAAAGCCUUGUCAUCAUCUCCUCGAUCUCUUCCGAAGAAAUUUCCUAGGCGAUGAACGUUCCGGCAGCCCAACGCACCCAGAAAAUGAAAAUUUGGAAGGUCCUUCGUCAUCGGAAACUGAAAUUGGCCGGAGGCUGGGUAGAGCAUCAGUUAGAGAUGUGAAGGAGGUUAUGGCAUCAUUUAGAAAUGUGAAGGAGCUGAUGGACGCUGGAAUCCGCAUCAAGCGCAGUCCUACACGUCACUUGAGGGACAUUUCUUUCCGUUCAAAUGGGAUCACCGCAUGCCUGAGAAUUCCUCCCAUCACCAUUGAUAACUCAACCAAGGCUAUGUUCUUGAACUUGAUAGCCUAUGAAAUGAGCUCAGACGUCGACCAUGACUUCAUCUCUUACCUUCGCUUCCUUGAUUCCCUCAUUGAUCAUGCUGAUGACGUUAAGGAGCUGCAGUCCAUCGGGAUACUCCAAAACAAUCUAGGAACCCACGACGAAGUAGCUCAAUUCUUCAACACCGUGUCCGCCAACUUGGAAUCCAACUUUCAUGCUUACAAAGACGUGAGAGUGAAAAUUCGGAAGCACCUUCAGAGUCACUAUAACAGCAAACUGACAAUGUGGAUGACACAAUGCCUGGACACCUAUUUCGGUAGCCCCUGGACUAUCAUAGCUUGGGUUGGUGCAGCUUUGGCCCUAUUCCUUACUUUCGUCCAGACUUACUUCUCAGUCUUCCCUCAUUGAUGCAUGCCUGCCCUCUUUUCAACUAUCACCGUCUCAAUUAAGGUAAUAUCCACUCCAAAUUUCCUUGUUCUUCUUGCUAUCUGCAUUUUACCUAGUCCAUGUAAAUUAAGCAAAGACUCAUUGGCUUCAUGCGCUUUUGACCUUACCUAUUUUGUGUUUUUGGUUUCAGCCUAUUUUCUACAUUGCUUUCCGUGCUUAAAUUAAGUAACGAAUGAAUAUGUAGUGUGACCUUAGUUUGGUGAUUUUGUGCUUUCGCAAGCAUGUGCUAUGCUUAUAUAUAUGCAUCAUCAGCAAUAUUAUGUUUGAUUUAAGUACGUAAAUAAAGAUAGAUAUAGGUGGAAUAUUUUUUUUUCUAUGUUUAUAUUCCUGUUAAUGUAUUAUAUAUAUGUUAGGUCUGGCAAUUUUUUAUCUCAUACCAUUUUUAAUUAAAUCAUUUUUAAACUAUAGUUACUAAGCCAAAAAUUAUAAUGCUCUAGAAAUAUAAUCAAUCUCAUUGUCGAAUUUUUCUAAACUAAUCUCAGAAUAAGCUCGAUAUCUCUAACAAUAUAUUAUUUAAGGCACAUAAUAUUCCAAAAAAAAUUCUGCAAAAGAAAAAGAAAUUUGUUGAGAAGUGGUUUAUUUUAGUUGAUCUCUUAUUAUAUUUAGGAAUAUGGACAAAAUGUUAUAUUUAGGAAUAUGAACAAAACAACAUUUUGUCCGAUAGAAAUUUACCCAUCAAUAUGAAUGGAUAGAAAUUUACCCAUCAACAUGAAUGGUAUGGAAAUUUGACUAAUGCUUGUAAGAUCGGAUUUGUAAAUAUUUGUGGGUGAGUUUCUUUUGACAACCGAUGGACAAAUUCAUGUCAUGUAAGACUUAUUUGACAACAUUCUAAAAUAAUGUUGCUAAAAAUAUUUAAGAAUAGUUCUGAAAAUAUGUUUUACCUGUUUUUAGGAAUAAAAUUCUAACUUAUUUUGAGAAUAUUCUUAAAAAAAAAAGAAAAAAAAAAAGAGAGAAUGUUGUUAAAACUUGUUAAGAAUAUUUUUAAAAAUAUGUUUUAUUUGUUUUUAGGAAUAAAAUUCCAUUUAAGAAGCCUAGUCCUUCGCAAAGGCAUGUGCCACCAUCUAUAAUGGAAGAAGUUCACACCUAUUUUUCAUUUUUUUUUUGUUCUUUUUUUAAAACACUUGCAUAGCUUCUGGAUUAAAGUUCUUAAAGAUUAUUUUCAAAAUUUGAUGUAAUAAUUUAAAAAAAAAUUACUAUAAAUAUAUAUAUAUAUAUAUAGAGUUACUAUUAUUUUUAAUUUUACAAAAUAAAAAACAAAAAAUGUACCUAAAGGAUACCUUAAUUUCAACUUAUUAACUAUAUGUAAAAUUAAAAGUAUUUUUCUCCUUUUCAACUUGUUACAUACUUCAGUGCUUGUAUAUUGCUUCCAUACCAUAUGAUAAGAUGUGGCUAAAAUUGAUCUUCAUGUCAAGAAUUGGAAGCCUUCAAUAUGUUGUAAUUGCUUAAAAGAUUUCGCUUUGAGUUAUGUUUCUUGUGGGGUGAUGGCAAAGAAAACCAACAAAUUAAUAGAAAAACUAUAAAUAUAAUUCAGAAUUAAGGAAAAAAGAAAUACAAUAUUGAAGGUGCAGUAGAAUAAAAAGGAGUGUGGGCAUGAAUGAUAUGUAAAAACUCACCCAAUAGAAUCCUUUAUGAAGUAAAUAUUUUCAUAUCAUACGAUCCAAUGUUAAUCCUUCAUAACCUAUGGAACUGUAGAACCUUGAGAGGAAAAAAGCCACUCACAAAUUAUGACACAAACAGAAACUAGGAACAGUGGAAGAAAAUUGAAAAACUGAUCUCCCUUUCCGAGUCCAGCAACAAAAUUAGUGUCCAACCUUAAAAUGGGCAUGUGUGGUAUUGACGAGAGAUGCUAAGAUGGAAAUCAUAACCAUAGUCAUGUUCUCUCUGUGUCUUUGUGUCUUUCUAACCCACUUUUUUUAAGAAAAUAAUAGACCAAGACUAUAAUUAUCAAUUAUGACUUUAUUGUUUAAUUUAUAUUCUUUAACAAUUUUUUUAUUUUUUUAAGAAUAAUUUGUUUUACUAUAAUGGUAGGUGAUGAAUUUAUUUUCUUAAUAAAAGGCCUCCCAAUAAGGCAAUAGUUUCAUGUUUUUUUUUUAUCCUCUGCUUUUGUUGCAACUCUUCUGCUUCCGACCUUUCAUUAACCUAAAUAUUAGAAGUUUCUAAUUCAGUCCAUUGCACUCCAGUUGUCUAAAUACGGAAGCUUCUUCCACGACCCAGUUGCACUUUGGAAAGUUAAGCUUAAGAUUUACGAAGUUUCUGAAAAUUACAGUUUAUUUAGUUUCUAAAAUCCAAUUAGCUAGAUAUUUUAUUUGAUUUCUUUUUAUAUUUAAGUAGUUGAGUUUUGGAAAGUUUUUAUAUUUUAUUAAUAGAAAAAAAAAAUUUAUAUUUUUUAUUAUUAGGAAUUUCUAUUUUGUUAAAUUGUAAGUAUCUAUCUCAAUAAGAGAUUAUUAAUAUUCGAAUGAAAGUGAUGAAAGAUAGUAAAUAUUUUAAUGCUCCUCAAUUAUAUUUUAAUGUUAUUUUUUUACAUGAGGGUUAAUUCAAUUUUAAUUUCAACAUGUAAUAUGUUAAAAAUAUUAUAAAAUAGAACUAUAAAGGAGUAUUUACUUAUUUUAUAAUAUUUUCAAUCUACAAUUUUCAAAAAUCAAUAUUUAAAAAAGGUAUUAAAACAUCCCUUCUCUUCAAUAUAAAAGCAUUAUUGUAACAUAUUGUGGACCCCGCAUUUUGCCCAAUGCGUUCCCACUCGAUGACAAAACUCGCUUUCUAUUUAUUUUGUGAAAAAUAUGAUUUUUUUCAAAAGACUUAGAGUCGCCACUUAUUUUUGUUUUAUUUUUAAAGGAAAAACAAAAUAAGAAAGAAAAACCCUAAAUGUGAUUCCUUAUUUGGAAAAAAUAGGUCUGUGAAAAAUCACGUCGGGUCCGAGGGUCAGGUUACUUAUUGGAAAAGUACGGUGGUGAGCCAUAACACCCCUCUAAGUCCAUAAAAACGGGUCUCUACUAAUAAAAUGAAGCAAACAUGACAAUUGGUAAGGAAAUCAAUGGAUACAAAAGUGAUCACAAAUUAAAAGUAAUCAUGAUAAUGAAUAAAUGAACGAAGUGAGAGCGAGAGUGUACCUUGGCAGCAGGUAAUAAAGCGUUAUUAUGAAACAAAGUUAGUGCACAAUAACAAAUACAAAAUAUAUCACAUGCAUGUCAAAUAUUAGAACAAAAAAAAAAAAAAUAUUCAUUAGGCAUAGCAAUUAACAAUCAGAAGAGAAAUCUCAUAUGUAGGGUCCCCCACCAAAGCCCAAUUUAUCUUGCAUGCAUUGGUCUCACAAAUUUUAUUAUUUCGAAAUUAUGAAAAAUUCAUUCUUACUUAUGAAAAAUCAAAAGAAACAGAAGAUUAUUUGAAAACCGGAGUGGAAUUAAAACUGUUCAAAAUUUGUUUGAAAAUUGGAGUCUCGAAAAUUAUUUGAAAAUUGGAGUCUUGGGAAUUAAAUUUAAGAAUUGGAAUUUUGGAAAUUAAAUUUGAAAGAAAUUGGAAUUUUUUAAAAUUAUUUAAGAAUUAGAGUUUUUAAAAUUAUAUUAAGGAAUUGGAACUUUAGAAAUUAAAUUUGAAAGAAAUUAGCAAAUUAUUUGAGAAUUAGAGUUAUGAAAAUUAAAUUAUGAAAAUUGGAAUCUUGGAAAUUAUUUGAAGAUGGAAAAAAUAAACAAAAUAAUAAUAGUAAUAAUAAAUAAAUAAAUAAAUAAAUGUGAAAAUUGGAAUUUCGGAAAUUGGAAAUUAAAUUCGGAAAUUGAAAAAUUGGAAUUUCAAAAAUUGAGAAUUAAAAUUGAAAAUCAGAAUUUUGAAGAAUUAUUUACAAAUGGAAUUUUAAAAAUAAAUUAAUUAAUUAAAUAAUGAUAAUAACGAAGAUAACAAUGAUUAAAUAAAUAAAUUUGAAAAUUAGAAUUUUGGAAAUUGGAAAUUAAAUUCGAAAAUUAGAAAAUUGGAAUUUAGGAAAUUCGGAAUUGAAUUUGGAAAUCGGAAUUUUGAAGAAUUAUUUAAAAAUAGAAUUUUAAAAAUAAAUUAAAUAAUGAUAAUAACGAAUAUGAUAAUGAUUAAAUAAAUAAAUAUGAAAAUUAGAAUUUUAGAAAUUGGAAAUUAAAUUCGGAAAAUUGUAAUUUAGGAAAUUGGAAAUUGAAUUUGGGAAUCGAAAUUUUGAAGAAUUAUUUAAAGAUGAAAUUUUAAAAAUAAAUAAAUUAAUUAAUUAAAUAAUGAUAAUAACGAAGAUAGCAAUGAUUAAAUAAAUAAAUUUGAAAAUUAGAAUUUUGGAAAUUGGAAAUUAAAUUCGGAAAUUGAAAAAUUGGAAUUUUGGAAAUUGGGAAUUGAAUUUGGAAAUCGGAAUUUUGAAGAAUUAUUUAAAGAUGAAAUUUUUGAAAACUUGAUUUAAAAGGAGAUGGAGUUUCAAAAAUUUAUUUGAAGGUGUCAUUUUAAAAAUUAAAUUUAGAAUUGUGGAAUUUUUGGAAGAUUAAAAUUAAAAUUUUGAAUUUGGGAAAAUUAAAUUUAAAGUUAGAGUUUUAGAAAAUUAUUUCAAGAAUUGAAUUUUGAAGAAUUAAAUUUAAAAUAUUGAAGUUUUGGAAAAUUGAACUUAAGAUCUGAAAUUUCGUAAACUAAAUUUAAAAAUCAAAUUUUACAAGAUUAUUUCGAAAAGGGUACUUAUAUAUAUAUAUAUAUAUAUAUAUUAAUAAAAUAAUAAAUAAAUAGAUAAAUAAAAAUAAAUAAAUAAAGCAAAUAAAAUGAAUGAAUAAAUGAAUAAAUUUGAAACUUUGGGAUUUUAGAAGAAUUAUUUGAUAACAGAAUUUAAAAAAAAAAUGAAAUUUUUAACAUGAAAAGUGGAAUUACGAAGAUGGCACGUGAAAGAAAAGAUAAAAAACUAAUAAUAAUUCACCAUGAGGCCACUGGACCCAUGCCACUAAUAAAAAAAAAACUCAUGCCUUUGACUUUUCAUUCACCAAUUGUUUAAACAAUUUCCUACUGUCAAUGAACCACCAAGAAGUGGAGUAAUGAAGCCCCACUUCUCCACGAAAAAAAAAAAAACACCAGUAUGUAUCUGACUAGUGAUGACAAACUGUGGUGGCGAACAAGGAUAGAAGACGAUGUAGAGUUUGGAAGGCCCCAAAUCACCACUUGGGAGACUUUGAAGAAGGAAUUGAAGGAUCAGUUCCUUCCCACCAACAUUGCUUGGGUGGCCAAAGAAGCGUUGAAAAGGGUCAAACACACCGGAUCUGUAAGGGACUACGUCAAGGAAUUCAGUUCCUUGAUGCUGGACAUAAAGAACAUGUCAGAUGAGGACAAGCUCUUCAAUUUCAUGUCUAGAUUGCAAGGGUGGGCUCAAACGGAACUUAGGAGGCAAGAGAUUCGUGAUCUCCCUGUUGCCAUGGUUGCAGCAGAUUGCCUGGUGGACUACAAGAUGGGUGGCGCCAUCUCCACCAUGUAGAGACCUAAGUCAGAAGGAGGUAAGAAGGCUAAGGUUGAGGGCAAGACUUCUAAGAAAUCUGGGUGGAAGAAACAGAACAAGAAGCCUGUUGUAGAGGGAAAACCAGUGGAAAAGACCAUAAAGUUUGUGCAGCAGACCACCCGGAUGGUAGGAUGUUUCAUCUGCAAUGGCCCUCAUCGAGCCAGAGACUGCCCCAAAAGAAAGAAACUCUCAGCCCUUGUGACUGUAGACGACAAGGGAGAGUCUGACUUAGAGACUCCUCUUAGAGUCAACCCACUGCAACUCCUGAACGUGAUUAAUGGUGAGACUCCAGUCCAUAAGUCCCUAAUGCAUGUCCAUGCAGUUGUAAAUGGUGUGCAGGUGAAGGCCUUGGUGGACAGUAGUGCCACGCACAACUUCGUGGCCACCAGAGAAGCAACCAGGUUGGGAUUGAAGUUGGAAGAGGAUACUAAUUAGAUCAAGGCAGUCAAUAGCAAAGCCCAGAAAAUCCAAGGGGUAGCAAAGAAUGUCCCCAUGCAAAUUAGUGACCGGAAGGGCACAUGCAACCUACUUUGUGUACCCUUGGACGACUUCAACUUGAUCAUCGGUGUAGAUUUCCUCUUGAGGGCUAAGGUGGCCUUGAUCCCACAUCUUGGUGGGCUGGUGGUGUUAGAAGAAAAGCAGUCUUAUUUCAUGAAGGCCUUGAGGGUGAAGGAUGGUGGCAAGGGUUAACAUGAGAUGCUGUCUACUAUCCAUUUGAAGAAGGGAUUGAAGAGGGGUCAGGAGACUUAUGUUACAACCUUGAUCGAGAUCAAGGAGAGAUAGUCUGUGGAAGUCCCUGAUUCAGUGGUCAAAAUCCUUAAGGAGUUCAGAGAUGUGAUGUCUGCAGAACUCCCCAAAGAAAUGCCACCUAGGCGGCCUAUUGACCACAAGAUUGAAUUGCUACCUGGAACAAAGGCCCCGGCUUAAGCUCCUUACAGGAUGCCUCCUGCGGAGUUGUUGGUGUUACGUAAGUAAUUGAAGGAACUGUUGGAUGCAGGCCUGAUCCAGCCCUCAAGGGCCCCAUAUGGUGCACCAAUGAUGUUCCAAAAGAAGCAUGAUGGCUCUCUCCGCAUGUGUGUAGAUUAUAGAGCUCUCAACAAGGUGACCAUCAAGAACAAGUACCCGAUCCCCUUGGCUGCCGAGCUGUUUGACAGAUUGUCAAAAGCCUCUUACUUCACCAAGUUGGACCUAAGAUCGACUACUGGCAAGUGCGAAUUGCAGUAAGAGAUGAGAAGAAUACCACCUGUGUAACUCGGUAUGGAUCAUACGAGUUUCUGGUAAUGCCAUUUNNNNNNNNNNNNNNNNNNNNNNNNNNNNNNNNNNNNNNNNNNNNNNNNNNNNNNNNNNNNNNNNNNNNNNNNNNNNNNNNNNNNNNNNNNNNNNNNNNNNUAAUGCCCCUGCUACAUUCUGCAAUUUGAUGAAUGAUGUUCUGUUUGAUUACUUAGAUGCAUUUGUGGUAGUGUAUCUAGAUGAUAUUGUGGUUUACAGUAAGACUCUAACAGAACAUGAGAAACACUUGAGAUUGGUGUUUCAGAGAUUGAGGGAGAACAUGCUUUAUGUAAAGCCAAAGAAAUGUGAGUUUGCUCAGGAGGAUAUCACAUUUCUAGGACACAAGAUCAGUGCAGGUCUGAUCAAGAUGGAUAAAGGCAAGGUGCAGGCUAUUAUGGAGUGGCCAGUCCUUAGCAAAGUGACUGAGUUGCGGUCCUUCCUUGGCUUGGCCAAUUACUACAGAAGGUUCAUUAAGGGGCAUUCAAAGAGGGUGUCUCCCCUUACUGACCUAUUGAAGAAGGACAACCAGUGGAGUGGAGCAUGUAGUGUCAGAUGGCCUUUGAAGGCUUGAAGGAAGCCAUCUCCACUGAGCUUGUGCUACGUUUGCCAGACUUAGACUUACCCUUUGAAGUCCAGACAAAUGCCUCAAAUAGAGCUUUGGGUGGAGUCUUGGUGCAAGAAGGGCACCCUAUGGCAUUUGAAAGUAGGAAGUUGAAUAAUGUUGAGCAGAGGUACUCCACUCAUGAGAAGGGGAUGAUAAUUGUGGUUCACUGCCUGCAGCAGUGGAGACACUACUUAUUGGGAAGCAUUUUUACAGUGGUCACUGAUAAUGUGGCCAACACCUUCUUCAAAACUCAAAAGAAGCUGAGUCCCAGACAAACACGAUGGUAGGAGUUCCUGGCCAACUUCAAAUUUGAAUGGCUGCAUCGACCAGGAAGACAUAACACUGUGGCUGAUGGCUUCAGUAGGAAAGAGGUGAUUGCCUACAUCAUGGCCCUCUCAGAAGUCAUCUUUGACUUCAAUAAGAAAAUCAAGCAAGUUGCAGAGUAGGAUGCUGCAUAUGGCAGGUUGAAGCGGCAAGUUAAGGAGGGUGUGAUAAGGAGGUAUUGGCUAGAGGGAGACCUCCUUGUGGCAAAAAGAGGAAGAUGGUAUGUUCCUGCAGGCGGCCUGAGAAAUGAAUUAUUGCAGAAAACUCAUGACGCAAAGUGGGCAGGUCAUUCCGGUGAAGAGAAGACUCUGGCACUGCUAGCCAUAUCCUACUAUUGACCUAAGAUGGGUGAGGAUGUCCAGGCAUAUGUGAAAUCCUAUCUGGUUUGUCAGAUGGACAAGACCAAGAUGAAGAAGGUUGUAGGGUUGCUACAACCCCUCUCCAUUCCAGAGAAACCUUAGGAGAGCAUUUCCAUGGAUUUCAUCACUGGAUUUCCAAAGGUUUGUGACUUUAAAUCUAUCUUUGUUGUUGUAGAUAGAUUCUUUAAGUAUGUUGUGUUUAUACCUGCCUCUGAUGCUUGCUCUACGGAGGAAGCGACUAAGUUGUUUUUCAGUAAUGUUGUCAAGCACUUUGGGUUGCCUAGGGACAUAGUCAAUGAUCGAGAUGCACGGUUCAUAGGCCGAUUUUGGGUUGAGUUGUUCAAACUCUUGGGUUCAUAGUUGAAGUUUUCUACAGCCAACUACCCUCAUACUGUCGGUACUCGCACGGAUUCUACCAUUUCCCGGUAUUCGCCGGGAUUUUACGAUUUUUCGUUAUUCGCUCGGAUUCUACCAUUUUCAUUUAGUCACACUGAUUCAACCCUUUUCCGGUACUCGCCCGAACAGUUUUUCGGUACUCGCACGGAUUCUACCAUUUCCCGGUAUUCGUUGGGAUUUUACGAUUUUUCGGUAUUCGCCCGGAUUCUACCAUUUUCAUUCAGUCACACUGAUUCAACCCUUUUCCGAUACUCGCCCGGAGAGUUUUUCGGUAUUCGCACGGAUUCUACCAUUUCCCGGUAUUCGCCGGGAUUUUACGAUUUUUCGGUAUUCGCUCGGAUUCUACCAUUGUCAUUUAGUCACACUGAUUGAACCCUUAUCCGGUACUCGCCUGGAGAGUUUUUCGAUACUCGCACGGAUUCUACCAUUUCCCAGUAUUCGGUUGGAUUUUACGAUUUUUCGGUAUUCGCUCGGAUUCUACCAUUUUCAUUUAGUCACACUGAUUCAACCCUUUUUCGGUACUCGCCCGAACAGUUUUUCAGUAGUCGCACGGAUUCUACCAUUUCCUGGUAUUCGUUGGGAUUUUACGAUUUUUCGGUAUUCGCUCGGAUUCUACCAUUGUCAUUUAGUCACACUGAUUGAACCCUUAUCCGGUACUCGCCUGAAGAGUUUUUCGAUACUCGCACGGAUUCUACCAUUUCCCGGUAUUCGGUUGGAUUUUACNNNNNNNNNNNNNNNNNNNNNNNNNNNNNNNNNNNNNNNNNNNNNNNNNNNNNNNNNNNNNNNNNNNNNNNNNNNNNNNNNNNNNNNNNNNNNNNNNNNNCAUGACGCAAAGUGGGCAGGUCAUUCCGGUGAAGAGAAGACUCUGGCACUGCUAGCCAUAUCCUACUAUUGACCUAAGAUGGGUGAGGAUGUCCAGGCAUAUGUGAAAUCCUAUCUGGUUUGUCAGAUGGACAAGACCAAGAUGAAGAAGGUUGUAGGGUUGCUACAACCCCUCUCCAUUCCAGAGAAACCUUAGGAGAGCAUUUCCAUGGAUUUCAUCACUGGAUUUCCAAAGGUUUGUGACUUUAAAUCUAUCUUUGUUGUUGUAGAUAGAUUCUUUAAGUAUGUUGUGUUUAUACCUGCCUCUGAUGCUUGCUCUACGGAGGAAGCGACUAAGUUGUUUUUCAGUAAUGUUGUCAAGCACUUUGGGUUGCCUAGGGACAUAGUCAAUGAUCGAGAUGCACGGUUCAUAGGCCGAUUUUGGGUUGAGUUGUUCAAACUCUUGGGUUCAUAGUUGAAGUUUUCUACAGCCAACUACCCUCAUACUGAUGGGCAGACUGAGAGAAUCAACGCCUUGCUGGAAGAAUACCUCAAGCAUUAUGUGACAGCAAUACAAAAGAAUUGGGUGGAUUUGUUAGAUACUGCCUAGUUGUGUUAUAAUCUGCAGAGGAGCUCAACAACAAGGAUGAGUCCCUUUGAGCUGGCUAUUGGGGUACAGCCACAGAUGCCUUUGGAGGUAGCUAAGCAAAAAGCAGAAGGAGGUAGUCCUGCAGCUUACAAGAUGGCUCAAUCCCGGCAUGAGAUGUUUGAUGAAGCCCGGGACAGUCUAGAGAAGGCAGUUAGAUGAAUGAAGAAGUAUGCGGAUCAUGACCGCAAAUCCUUGGAAUUUUAGGUUGGGGACAAGGUCCUCUUGAAAUUGACUCAUAAGAUAUGGAAGAAAAUCAGUAGCAAGACAAGGCAGAGGAGUCUAAUUCCUAAGUAUGAUGGACCAUUCGAGGUGAUAAAACGAGUUGGGCAGAUGACCUACAUGUUGAAGCUGCCUGAGAGGCUCAAGCUUCACCUAACUUUCCAUGUUAGCUUUCUAAAUCUUUACCAUGAGGAUCUGGAUGUAGAGAGAGUGCAAAUAAAGCGGGCCCUUCUCUUGGUCAUGAAGCAGUUUGAUCGAGAGAUAGAGAAAAUCUUAAAUCAUAGGACCAUGGGACAUAGCAGAAAGAACCGACGAACUGAUUUCUUGGUUUAGUGGAAGUGGACUUCAAAAGUAGAAGCUACAUGGGAGAGGAAUGUUACCUUAUGGCAAUUUGAGACGGCGGUCCAAACAUAUUGGUAGACUAAGUCGACGAGGGUGUCAACUUCAAUAGGCGGGGGUGGGUUUGUCAGCCCCUUAACCACUUGACUCUACCAUGGAGGAAAAGGCCUCAUGGGUAAACCUUGCACCCAUGAGAGCCUAGACGGAGAAAGCAAGGAAGACUUAGAGGUUUGGUGGUUCAAACUCCAAGAGCUAAGUGAGAAGGCCAUGUGUGAGCUAGACACGCACCGUGGACGAGCCUGACGCACACCGUGCGUGCAUCGCGAGCGAGUCAAACAAGCACCGCGUGCGCAUUAGAUGGGCACCGCGUGCACACUAGAUGGGCAUCGCGCGCGCACCAAUCUUAGGUAGUGCAGAUGAAGGCUGAAGGCUACUUUUGGAAUUUAAUUUAUAUUUAUUUAAUAUUCCAUUAUGUCUCAUCAGGCAUAUUAAUGUCUCCUCCAGAAACAAUGAAAACGACUUGUAUUACUCUUUAGGGGGGGGGGGGGGGGGGGGGGGGGGGGGGGGAGGAGGUAAGCAACUCAAAAAGGGAAGCACCAAGGGAAAGCCUUGACCGCACCAAGAGGGCACCAUGACACGACCUUGGGCGUGCCUAGGACACACGGAUAGGACUCGAGCACGCACACAUGGGCUCCACGACAUGUGUGGUGUGCACCACGUGGCCACAACGGCACGGGGCCUGGUGCGGCCUACCUCCUCCUCGUGUAGGCAUGAGGACGCCUAAACCUUGUGCAGUGAGCCAGUUGAGGAAGUCAUGGGCGCAAUACCAUGGCUUGAUGGGGCAUUAAACAACAAUUGACUAGCACCCAUGAUGCCUACGUACAGCACAAGGGCGCAAUGCCCUGUGCACUAAGAGGGAUCAGUCAUGAACGCAAUGUCAUGGCUCGUUGCUAUGAAGUUGGACCUCACAUUGGAAGCAAGCAACAUGCCCAAGCCAUGGGCACCUAAACAUGACAUGGGCUCACAUAUCAGUGUGGGGAAGACACACUGAUGCACCAGACACUUGGUCAGCUGGUUGGUGCACGUUGCCUAGUUCUGAAGGCCUUGAUCAAAGACACGCUGGUGGGCACCAGGUCAUAAGAGGCACCUUGCGGGAAAGGAGGCAACUUGUUAAGGGGACUCUUCAGCAGCUUGGUGAGAAAGGCUUGAGGAGAUGGCAAUGCAACAAGCUAGUGGCAGCUAGUUGGGAUAGCAAGUGAUCAAGUCAAGCAGCCAAUUGACUUGCAGUUGGCUGAGGUGUUGAUGGCUGGUGCAAGUGGGUGGUUCACGAGCAGGCCACUAUCUGGGUGGUGGGUGGUUAUGCAGGACAGUUAUGGGCGCAUUUGGCCAAUUGCAUAACCACUAGAUUGGCUUCAACUUUUAAAUUUGGUAAUUCAAAAAUGUAACUGCAGAAUGAGUCUUUUAAAAGGGCUCCUGCAUCCUUGAAAUAGAGAGUGAGAGAUUGGGAUAGGGUUCUCUUAAUGCUUGGGGUGUGAAGUAUUGUACUAUGACUCAGGGGAAACAAUUUUGUCUUGUAGAGUGAAUUAAUACAAGUUGGGAAAGGUUUCCUGUAAAUCGUUGGUGUCCCUGUUACUGUGCUUUUACUUUGCUUUUACUCUAUUUUUGAAAAGGCUGGGAAGGAAGGUUGGCUAAGGAAGGGUCCUUAGCACCGCACACUCGUGAAAAAUUUAGUGUGAUCUUCAGGGGGGUGUAACAGUGAGUAUAGUGUCGGGUUUGAGCAUCUCCAAGCAUUUCAAUAUGGUUCAAAUGGCUCUCAAACAUCCAGAAAUUCCCAACAGUAUGAAAAAUGGCUCUCAUGGUGCUCUCCCAGAAACACCUCCACCCAAGAUGGCCAACCUCAAACGUAAUGCCCAACACUCUAAAAUAUACCAAAAGCAGAGGAGAAAGUAAACAAAAGCAAAGCAUGCACAAACGUAAAUGAUACCGUUAAACCUAGCUCCAUUUCAUAAAGAUCAAUGGGCUGGAUAUAGGCGGAACCAAAAGAAAGCAAGAACGUGAUCUUCAAAACCUUAUUCAAGCAUCAAGAUGAACCCAAAAUUGGCGGGAAAUGAAAUAGAACAAACCGAAAUGGGAAAUGCAAAGCAUGCUAAAAUCAUACCUGACCAAAACGACAGGCUUUUCCUCUGCUCAAACUCGGAAUGUCCCUUUCUCCUAUCUUUCUUAGCUAGCUCUGCUACCCUUCCUCCAUGUCUCCUAUCAGCUGGGUUUUUCUUAUUUUCUCAGCCCGCUUCAUAACCACCAGAAAAACGAAAAAAAAUCUCUUCUUACCUCCUUCCAGCUUACUUCUCCUCCAAGCUAUAUCCAUAUCCCAUCUCAUUUGGCAACCCAAUAGCUCACCCAUCAGUCCUCUUUGGCUGCCCCAAAAACAGCUCACUUCUAAGGUAGUCAGAAAAAGAAAAAAAGAAGAAAGAAGGAAAAAAAAAAUGCUUCCAUCCGAGGGGGUCUACACAUAUACAUUUUGUUCUAAUUUUCUAAUAGUUGUGCACAGUUGAAGGGAAAACAAUUUGAUUUUCUAAUUAAUAUUACUUUUAUAAAUACUUUAAUUACUUUUAUAAAAUUGAUUCAUAAUGAUUUUAUUAUUUCUUUGGAACUCAUAAAAUAAAUCUAAUUACGACAGAAAAAGAAAAAGAGAAAAGUGAGUUUUGAUCACUAAUUUGAAAAAUACAAAAAUAAAAAACUUCAGCUUUUAUAAAUCAUUUGUAUCUUCAUUUAUUUAAAAUUAUUUUAAAAUACAUGCACUUUUUUAUAACUCAAAUAAUUAUUUCCUAAAAUGACCUUAUUAUUUAUGAUGUUAAUAAUAUCAUUUUUUUUUAACCAUGAGAACCUAUUUGAGAUUAAUAAAAUGAGAAAUUUUAAAAAUUUUAAAUACAAUUAAAACUAAAAAAACUUUAAAGUUAAAAAUAUAAAAAUAAAAUAUUAUAUUUUUUUAUUAUAUUUUUGGUUUUUAAUUGUAUUUAAUUUUUAUGUAUUUUAGUUUUAAUUAUAUUUUUAAAUUUUAUAAAUUUCUUAUGUUAUCCUUAAUUGAUGUCAACUAAUAAAAUUUAUAUUCAAUUUUAUUUAUUUUUUUUAAAUGAGAAGAUGUGGGGGUUUAUCUAAUACAAAACAUAAAAUCAUAUUAACUAGGGGAUUAACAAGAUUUUAUUUAUUACUUGAUGAUGUUGGAAAAUUUUUCCACGAUGAUUUGUAUCUUAUGUUAUAUAAUAAAAUUUUAUAAUAUAUUUAUUUAUAAAAUAUUUUUAUCAAAUUAAAAUAAUAAAUUUGGAUAAAUUCAUUUAAUAUUAUCAAAUAAAAAUGUAUUUUAGGAAAUAAUUAUUUAACUUAUGAAAAAGUGUAUAUAUUUUAAAAAAAAUUAAAUGGAUAAAGAUAAAAUUGAUUUAUAAAAUUUAAUUUUUUUUUUCUAUAUUUUUUCAAAUUAGGUUAAAACCCACUUUUUCUCAAAAAAAUAAUAGACCAAAUCUAUAAUUAUCAAUUACAAACCUACAAUUAUCAAUUAUGACUUUAUUGUUUAAUUUAUAUUCUUUAACGAAUUUUUAAAAUUUUUAAGAAUAAUUUGUAAUUCAAAAAAUUGGUCCAUUUAAUUACAAAUUAAAUAAAAAAUUCCAUAAUAUGUUGUUAUCCUUGUAUGUAAUAAAAAACUCGGAUUAUUUAUAUGUUAUAAAAGUUAAAAUUUAUUUAUUUUUAAAUUAAUUUUAUAUAAAAUAUUAUUAAUUGUUAUUAUUUUUAAACAAUUAUUAUUCAUUUUUUAAAAAAAAUAAUUAUACUUUUACAAAAAUAUUAAUAUCCAUAUUUUUAUAAUAUAUAUUAAAAUAGUAUAUUUUUAUGAAAAAAAAAAUAAUUUUAUGACUUUAUUAUAAUAUUACUAUUCAUAUUUCACUAAAUUUAAUUUAUUUGUAACAACAAAAAAAACUAUUUUCAUUUUUAAUAAAACUUAAAUUAAAUCUAAUUAAUAUGGUAUAAAUAGAAUUUAUAACAUUUUUACAAAAUCAAAAUAGAAAAAAAAAAUUAAACCAAUUUAUUCAAAUAAACUUGUUUUUUCUUUUUUCUAAAUAUUUUUAAAAACAAUUUAUCUAAUACUCUUAUUUUUAUAAAAUAUUAAAAUAACAAUUUUUUUAUUUAAAAAAAAACAUGAAAAAAGCAUGGUCACAACAAACCUAAAAAUAAUUAUGAUUCUAUGUACUUUUUCAUUAAAUGUGCUAUUUUUUACCAUUCACGUGUUAUGCCUUACUGAUGUAGAUCAAAGUUACGCAUAAGAUUAAAAAUGAUUUUUGUACUGUUGCUAUUUUGACGGGUUUUUUUUUUUUCAAAUGAAACAUGCUUUUUGCCCUUUUUGCCCCCACUCUGAUUGAGGGUUUGGUUUAUUUCACUAGCACGGAGCCCUCUCCAUCUGCCAGCCUACCUGACAACUCUGAACCGCUCUUUAAGUCUUUGUUUUUCCUCUUUCAUCAAUGACACAAAUAACUCUCACAUCAGGCGUUUUAAUCUAUUACUGCCACAGGCCCACAAGCAUCAGACAAGGUAUUAAUAGAGGCUUCUCUUUGAUACACCUCAAUAACCAUCCAUGUAAGAUAUGUAUAUUAAACACUAUGAUUCAAUACAUUAUUAUAUACAAACCAGAUGAACCCAGUUACCCACAACCUAGCUUAUUAUAAUUUUUUUAUUUGAAUUAAAUUAAAUGAUUUCAUAAUAAUACUUUUUUUUAUUUUGAAAUAAUAGGUGUUGUGCAAUUUGUUUUACUUUAUUGGUAGGUUAUGAAUUAUUAUUAUUAAUAGUAAUAGUAAUAUAAUUCAAUUAAUAUUUUGUAGGAUACUCAAAAGCUUUAUAUGCACGUAACAAAAUAAAAAGACUUACGAAGACUUAAAAUUAAUGUAAUAUCUAUUCAAUUUACAUAAAUAAGUAUGAUUGUGUGAAAAAGGAGAUAAAUGAAAAAGGUAAAGAAGGUGAACAAUAAUAAAUUUGAAGGAUAUGGGAAAUAUUUGGUUAAAUUAAUAAAGAUAAAAUUGAUUCAUAAAAUUUAAGUUUUUUUUUUUAUAUUUUUUUAAAUUAGUGGGUCAAAACCCACUUUUUCUCAAAAAAUAAUAGAUCAAAACUAUAAUUAUCAAUUAUAACUUUAUUGUUUAAUUUAUAUUCUUUAACAAAUUUUUAAAAUUUUUAAGAAUAAUUUGUAAUUCAAAAAAUUGGUCCAUUUAAUUACAAAUUAAAUCAAAAUUUCCAUAAUAUGUUGUUGUCGUCGCAUGUAAUAAAAAGCUCGGAUUAUUUUAUAUGUUAUAAAAGUUAAAAUUUAUUUAUUUUUAAAUUAAAUUUAUAUAAAAUAUUAUUAAUUAUUAUUAUUUUUGAGCAAUUAUUAUUCCUUUUUAACAAAAAAUAUAUAUUUUUACAAAAAUAUUAAUAUCCAUAUUUUUAAAAUAUAUAUUAAAAUAGUAUAUGUUUUUAUGAAAAAUAUAAUUUUAUGACUUUAUUGUAAUAUUAUUAUUCAUAUUUUACUAAACACUAUUUAUGUUAAUUUAUUUGUUAUAACAAAAACUAUUUUCAUCUUUAAUAAAACUUAAAUUAAAUCUAAUUAAUAUGGUAUAAAUUGAAUUUAUAACAUUUUUACAAAAUCAAAAUAGAAAAAAAAAAUUAAAACCAAUUUAUUCAAAUAAACCUUUUUUCUUUUUUCUAAAUAUUUUUAAAAACAAUUUAUCUAACACUUAUUUUUAUAAAAUUUUAAAAAAACAAACAUGAAAAGAACAUGGUCACAACAAACCUAAAAUAAUGACGAGUCUGAACCGCUCUUUAAGUCUUUGUUUUUAUUUCACUCAGACGGAGCCCUCUCCAUUUGCCAGCCAGCCUGACAAGUCUGAACCGCUCUUUAAGUCUUUGUUUUUCCUCUUUCAUUAAUGACAAAAAUAACUCUCAUAUCAGGCGUUUUAAUCUAUUACUGCCACAAGCAUCAGACAAGGUAUUAUUAGAGGCUUCUCUUUGAUACACCUCAACAACCAUCCAUGUAAGAUAUGUAUAUUAAACACUAUGAUUCAAUACAUUAUUAUAUACAAACCAGAUGAACCCAGUUACCCACAACCUAGCUUAUUAUAAUUUUUUUUAUUUGAAUUAAAUUAAAAGAUUUCAUAAUAAUACUUUUUUUUUUUUUUUUGAAAUAAUAGGUGCUGUGCAAUUUGUUUUACUUUAUUGCUAGGUUAUGAAUUAUUAUUAUUAGUAGUAAUAGUAAUAUAAUUCAAUUAACAUUUUGUAGGAUACUCAAAAGGUUUAUAUGCGACAUAACGGAAUAAAAAGACUUACGAAGACUUAAAAUUAAUGUAAUAUCUAUUCAAUUUAUAUAGAUAAGUAUGAUUGUGUGAAAAAAGAGAUAAAUGAAAAAGGUAAAGAAGGUGAAAAAUAAUAAAUUUGAAGGAUAUGGGAAAUAUUUGGUUAAAUUUCAAACUAAUGGUAAAUAAGUAUUUUUAACCUCUAUACAGGGGGAAGUGAGUAAAAUUAUUGAAUGUAGCCAAAAAUAUAAAUAAGGUACUAGAGGCUUCUAAAUAAACGUGGAUAUGAGAAAAGGUAUAUUUAUAAAAAUUAAAUAAAAUUGUUGAAGAAACUAUUAAACUAUAAUCUAAUGCUUUACAAUCUUGUAUAAUGAGAUUAACCUAAAUUAUUAACGAAAUAUCUUAUUAUAUUUUUUAUUUAAAUUAAAUCAAAAAAAUUUGAUAAUAAUGAUUUCAUUUUUAUCUUAGGAGUAAUAGGUGUUCCUUGUGUUCUUUUGUGAUCUCUUGUGUCUAUAAUUAUAUUACUUUUUCUCACACACUCUCUUACUUGGUUAUUUGUUUGUCUUAUGUGUGCAUAUCAUAGGAUUGUUCAUUGGUGGAUGUUGUAUGGUAAUUGUAAUUUGUGCGAUUAAGGAUGAUGUUUAGUUUAGAUGAAUGUCCUUGACAAAUUUGUAAACUCCAUUUGAGAAUUUUAGGGGUUUAUGUAAUUUAUAUUUUGUCACAAGAUUGUCAAAAGGGGGAAAUUGUUAAUUAGUGCAUUAGGCUACUUAGUUUAAAUUAAAAAUUUUGUUCAAUCCAUCUUCACUUACAGACUUUUUUAGAUUAUUAUGUUUUACUAUUUAUUAAAAACUUAAGGUUAUUGCAUGAUCAAUUGGAAUAAUAUAAGUAUAGAGAUGUUCAAGAAAAGUUAAUUGGAAUCAAUUAUAGCAUGAAAUGAAUGUUAGGCUUUAAGCUAGUGAAAAAGGUUUUAAAAUUAAUUUGAAACUACUCAUGAGCCCGAGCUCAAGCAUCACUUUUAGUGUUCAAGCCAAAAUUCUAUAGGAUACUGAAUUUUUUUUUUUUGUCAUAUUUUUAGAGGUUUAUUGAAACAAAAAUUUAAAUUUCAUCUCUUGUUUAUUAUUUAAUACAAACUUUGAAAAUAAUUUAAGUAUUAGUUUUCCCACAUUCUAAACUCUUAAAAGUUCUCAUUCUUAGAUUUAUAAGAGAGAUUUGCAUCGCGAGAUGUACACUAAGGUCACAAUCAAGAUUUACAAACUAUUCGCGUUGCAUGAUUUGUUUUACUGUAAUGGUAGGUGAUGAAUUUAUUUUAGUUCACAUGUGAAAAUGAUGGGGCUAUAAAGAAAAAGAUACAAGUUAAAGUCCGACAAUUUUUUUUUAAUUGAGAUUCAUUUAUUUAUUUUUAAUUGAGAAAAAUAAAAUAUUAAUAUUAUUAGAAACUUUAUUUAUCAAUUUUUUUACUAUACAAUUUUCAUACAUCUAAUAUGUGAACUUUUUAAUAUCAUGGCAAAAGUGAAAAACAAAAAUAAAAUAUUUAAAAAAGAUUGAUCAAAUUACCAAACCAUCUUAUACUUAAAAAUAAGGCACUUAAAAAGACAAAUGACUCUUAGAAAGAGAAUUUGUAUUUUCAUCAAUUUAAGUUCUUUAUAUAUCUAUUUUAUUUGCACACUUACCUAAUUAUUUACAAUAUACUUCAAAUAAAUUUUAUUAUAUACCUUCUUUCACCUUCUUUCCUUGUUUUUUUUUUCUUUGGCAAAAAUAUUCUUCUCUCCAACUUUUUUGUUAUAAAAACAAAAUAAUAUUUGAGAUUAGUGUAAAGCUGAUUGUAAUAUUUUAAAUGUAUUUUUUAAUUGAAGUACUCAAUUAUAUUAGGUUUAUUUCAUAUAAAUAUAUUUUGAGUUUAUUAUUUAUAUAAUUUUUUUAUUAAUAUUUGUUAGAAAAAUAAUUAAUACUUAUUAAAGUUUUUUAAAGGCAACACUUACUAUUUUUUUUUUAAGAAAUACCGACCCUAAACUAAAAAGGGUAUAAUUGAAAUUCAUAAGGGAUCAAAAUUUCAAUUACAAAUUUGAUGACCGUUUUGAAUACUUGUCAACUAAUUUUAACUAUUUUGGAUAAUUUUUCCAUCGCCAAAUUGAAAGAAAGGCAAAUAAUUACAGAGAUUCGAAUGGAUCUCUAUUUGAAAUGCCCGCUUGCCCGCCCUUCAUUUAAGGACCUUUGGUUGGUUUUUCUAUGGGUGACGGGGGAAGAGAGAAACAAGAAACCAAAGGAGGAGGGUAGCUCAUUUUGGGUCUUGCCAGUUUUUGGAGAAGGAUAGCUUACUCGAAGCCGCUUCAAGCAAUACUACUUUGGCGGACCUUUUCAGGUAUGGCAGCUGUAAGCUUCUUUUUAUUUUUUAUUUUUUAUUUAUUUGCUCCAUUUUCUGCUGAUUUUCUGAUCGAUGUGGAAAUCAAGGCUUAAAUGAUUGUUUUGCUGAAUCUGAAUUUGUUUUCAUACUAAACUCUGUUUUGAUUUUAUACUGAUCCCUUUUAUUUUUCCUGUAAAUAACUACCGUAUGGAUUGUUCUUGAGUUGGAUACUUGAUAAUCAUGCCACUGCUCUAUGCUUAUCCCACUUACGUUCAAUCCCAUGGAUAACACAAUGAAAUGUAAGAUAUGGUAUAUUUAUCAAAAUCAACAAUGAGUGCCCCUAGCAUCAGACACGGUAUUAAUAGAGGCUUCUAUUUGAUAUACCUAUCCAUCCAUGUAAGAUAUGGUAUAUUUAUCAAAAUCAAAUAAAAUUCUGUGUGAAACUAUUAAACACUAUGAUUUAAUACAUUAUAGUUAUGUACAAGCCAGAUCAGCCCAGUCACCCACCACGUAGCUUAUCUUUUUUAAUUUGAAUUAAAUUAAACUACUAAAUGCAAUAUAUUUUGAGAUAUUUCUAAAAUCUGUUUGAGAGUAUUAGAGGUUUGUGUAAUAUAUUUAGUAACAAAACUUCCAAAUGAGGGUUAUUUAGUUUAAAUUGAUAAUUAUGUUCUGUUUAGGACUUUUUUAGAUUAUUAUACCUUACUUUUUAUUGAAGAUUUAAAGUUGUUGUAUAAUCAUGAAAUGGAUGUUAAGCUUUACGGAAAAUUGAUUUUAAACUAUGUAGGAGCCAACGUUCAAGCAGUACCCCCGAUGCUCAAACCAGAGUUUUAUAAAUUCUGAAAAUUUUCUUGUUCGACAUUUAUUGAGAGUGUUUUCUUUUUAAAAAAUUUUAGAUUUCAUUCUCUAGUUUUCACUCUUGAAUGCAAACUUUGAAAGAAAAAUCUAGGUAUUGGUUUUCCCACUUACCAAACUUUUAGAAGUUUGUUUUUUGAUUCCUAGGUUUGUGAGAGUGAUUUGUAUCCCCUUUGAUAUUGAGGUUGUCCAAUGGGUGCACAUGUGGUGAUAUGUGAUGAAAAAUUAGUAUAAGUAUCAAGAGAGUAAGAUUUAUGAAUAACUUUUAUCAUGUGAAUAUGUAUACCAGUUGUUUUAUAAUGAAUUUGUGUUUUGUGAUUUCUGGUAGUUUUUCCAUUUGAAUAUUCUUGUUGAUAACUGUAGGAUGAUUUUCAGGUAAACAUAAUUAUAUCUCCUGUUAUUGACCCUUUUUUACAUUCCUCAAUUAUUAGAGAGGAAUUAAAAACAAAUAUUUUGGGCUAAAGCGAAAUAAAUGCUCUAAAAAAUAUUAGUGUUGCACAAUUUAUUUUACUAUAAUGGUAGGUGAUUAAUUUGACAAAUAUAAUAUAGGAAAGCAAUGUCACAUCCCAUUCAAAUUUUGAAAAAGGCCUAAAGUAAAUUAUAGAAAUUACAUGCUGAAAUACAAGAUUUAUGGAUUGAAGUUUCUACAGAGAUAUGUGGGGUAGCACUCUGUCUAGAUAUCUCAUUCUCGUACUAACAAUGACUGUAGAGAUCGAGAUGGACCAUUUCGUGGUGCCGCAGGAAGUAGUUGCUGAUCAGGUUGUAAAUCCUGCGGAUGGCGGUAGGCAUAUUAGAACCUUGGCCAACUUAAAAUCCGAAAUUUGUCGAACACGAGACGACACUCCAUCAGAAAAAAAUGCAAAGCUAGAAUGUCCCAAGGUUCCAAAGUCGUUGUUGCCAUCAGAUGCCAUGGGUUCUGAGUCUGACGGCCACCGCAAUGAGCCAAAAAUCAUGUCUUUGGGUCCUUACCACCAUGGCAAUCCCAAGCUCGCGCGUGGAGAAAUAAUCAAGCUUAAUUUGGCAGAACAUGCCUUUUUAUUAUUUUCGAUGUCGGAAUCAAUCUCAAUAGAGGAGGUCGAUGAAUUGUACGGCGAAAUUAGCGGUCAAGUCCAAUCGCUGAGGAGCUGUUAUGAUGCGAAGUCGACGGAGAAUUAUUCGGAUGAAGAAUUCAGUGUGAUGAUGAUGGUGGACGGGUGUGCUUUACUGUAUUAUAUGUUUCAUGCUUGCUAUGGUGAUGAACAUGACCAAGAAAAUUCCGGUAUCAGAUAUCAGGAUCUAAGGCAUCUGCAGCGGGACGCGUUGCUGCUGGAGAACCAACUUCCCUAUAAAUUACUCCUGGAACUGGGCGAAAAGGUUCCAGGAUAUGACACUAGUGAGUGGAUGGCACUAUGCUUGGAAUUCGUUGGAGUGAUUGGGGAGGAGGAGGAGGAGGAGGCGUACUCAUUCCCGCAAAAAAUGAGGAAAUUUUGCUCCGGCCCGUUCGGCCAAAUUAUUGGCCGGAGUCUGAUGAAGAGUCGGUUAUAAACCUUAAGCCUCUUCAUCUCCUCGAUCUGUACUUAAAUAAUUGGCUAGGAGCCAAACGUCCUAGCCAAAAAAAAAGCGGCGGUGGGGAAUCAGUUAGAUAUGUGAAGGAGAAGGUUAUGGCAUCAUUUAGAAAUGUGAAGGAGCUUAUGGCCGCUGGAAUCCGCAUCAAGCCUAGCCCUACGCGUUACUUGAGGGACAUUUCUUUCACUUCAAAUGUCAUCACUGGAUGCCUCAGACUUCCUAUCAUCACUAUUGAUAACUCAACCAAGGAUUUGUUCUUUAACUUGAUAGCCUGGGAAAGGUGCUCAAGUCGUCGCCAUGACAGUCAUGACUUCAUCUCUUACCUUUGCUUCCUUGAUUCCCUCAUUGAUCAUGCUGAUGACGUUAAGGAGCUGCAGUCAGCCGGGGUACUCCAAAACAAUCUAGGCACGCAUGAACAAGUGGCUGAAUUUUUCAACACUCUGUCCGCCAAGUUUGAAUCAAACUUUCAUGCUUACAGAGAUGUGAGAGUCAAAAUUCGGAAGCACCUUAAAAGUCACCGUAACAGCAAACUGAAAAGGUGGAUGACACAAUGCCUGGACACCUACUUCGGUAGCCCCUGGACUAUCAAAGCUUGGGUUGGUGCUGCUUUGGUCCUUUUCUUUACUGCCGUCCAGACUUAUUUCACAGCCUUCUCUCAUUGAUGCAUUCAUGGCCUGCUUUCUCGCUAUCUAUUGAGUGCUUCUGCAUUUUACCUAGCCUAAAUUCAUGGACUCCAUAUAACCCUUUGAUGUGCAAAGUAAAUUAGGCAAAGAGUCAUUGGUCCCGUUUCUUUGCCAUUUCAGCCUAUUUUCUACCGUCCUUUCCGGGUUUAAAACAAGUAAAAAAAUAAAUGUAUGCUGUGAUCUUAUUUUGGUGUAUUUUGUGCUUAUGUACGCAUAAGUAAUAUUAUGUUUGAUUUAAGUAACUAAAAAUAGACAUGGGUGGACUGUUUUCUUUUUAUGUUUGGAUGCCUAUUAAUGGAUUAUAUUAGGUUGGCAAUUUUAUUUUAUUGAUGUUGUACUCCAUGUAACUUAUUUCCUCGGAUCUUAAUGGUUGGGAUCGGGCAAGUGUUUGAAGAAGUAAGAUAAAGAAAUGAAAACUUCAGAAAAGAAAAAAAAAAAAAGAACCGAAACAAAACAAUGUGAAAAAUGGAGAAAAACCAGACAGGAAUGCAGGAAAUUUUAAUAGAUGAAAGUCAUUUAUUCAUUUUUAAUUGAGAAAAAUAAAAUAUUAAUAUUUUUAUUAGAAAUUUAUUUAUCAAUUCUCUAUUAUAAAAUUUUCUUGGAUUUCAUGGAAAAUAUAUUAAAGAAAUUGACAUUAGCUGCCGGGAACUUAUCUAAAAUUCCUUUUUUUUUUGUGACAAAGAAGCUUCUGAGGAAAGGAUUUUUUUCAAAAGAAAAAUAAAGGAGGGAAGAAGGUAGGUGGUAUGGAAUAGAAGAAUGGAGAAUGGUAUGAAUGUAUUGAUACGAUUUUUAUCUUCUUGGUUGAUUGUGUAAAUAAGAUGGCUGCGUCACAGAAUUUCACGAGUAAGGGAGUAGUAUUUUUUGGAGAAGAAGAGUUUAGUAAUUUAAUUAUUUUUUAUUUAAAUAUUUUAUUUUCUUUCCAGUUUUAAAGAUGAUAUUGGAAAGUUUGACUCGGUAAUAUUAGGUUUAUAUUUGUUCAGAAUAUGUUUAGGGUUUACAACUCAUAAUUUUUGGCAAACAUUUGUCACAACAAUAAUUAGGAAACUUUUAAGAUGUAUUUAGAAGUGAAAAGUGUUUUAAAAAGUGGAAAAAUCUCCAAUAAAAGCAAGAUUGUGUUAUCUAGCUUGAUUUUUUUGUUCUUUGCUUUUCUCUGCUUUUGUUGCAGCUCUUCUGACCAAAAUACUAAUAGUUUCUAUUAAGCAAAAUAAUAAAACAGACACAAGAUGUAGAAUGACAGCACAUGAUAAGAAUCCAUUUUCAUUAAUAUUUAUAUAAAUAAAAAAUUAAUCAAAGAUUAAUAAUAUUUUAUUCUCCUAUUUUAGAAAAUAAUAUUUAUUUUAGAUAAAUCAAGAGCUAUUAAAAAUAUUUUAUUCUCUUAAUUUAGGAAAUGACAUUUGUUUCCUUAAUUUUAAGAUAUUUAUUCUUUCAUUCUUUCUAUAAUUCACAAUGUAUCGUUGUAUAAUUUUUUAAAAAGAAACAAUAAAAAAAUCGUUUUCAUUAGGAAGAAGCUCAAACUUGAGUCCUCUCCAAGAGUGGUCAAAUGCCAGAAAAGGAGUGGUUGAAUAAUAUAGUCAUGAUCAAAAUGGUUGAGAAGACGCAUAUUUCAAAUUGAGGGGUAGAGGCUUCACCCUUUCUAUGUGUUACAAUUCUUACAAAAAAAAUUCUUUUAUGUUUUUAUCGAAUCUCUAUCAAAAAAUGAUGUCUUCACCAUGUUUAAGAGUAAUCAAAUAUUAAUAAUAUUUUAUUUUCCUAAUUUAAGAAAUAAUAUUUAUUUUAAAUAAAUCAAGAGCAAUCAAAUAUUAAUAAUAUUGGGUUAAAUACACUUUACCUUCUCAACCAAUGGUAGUUCUUUUUUUCCCGCACUGUUUUGCUUCAUUUUUGUCUUUGAUAGCUAAGAAAAUUUCUAGACAAAGAAUAAAUAUUAAGUGAUGAGGUGUUUAUAUCGGUUAGGGUUUUCUUUUGAUAGUUGAAAAAAUUUUGGGAAAAAGUUUAAAUUUUAGGUGUUUAGGGUUAAGGUUUUCUUUCCAUAGUUGAGAAAUUUUAUGAAAAAAAACAGAUUUAGGUGUUUAGGUUUCCUUUUCAUAGGUGUUUAUUUAUAGUCAAUUUAGCUUUCUUAUGACAUUUUUUUUUUGUUUCUUUUCAUCAACAUUGCAUCUAUAUAUUUAUCUAAUAUGAAUUUUAUAUUAUAUGUUUGCAAAUAAACCACCUAACUAUUUUACCAUCAAUUAUGAAGGGCGAUUUAGGGGUGAUAUGAGACAUGUAUUUAAGAAUAGUGAUUAUUUGGGUGGAAAAGUGGAUUAUGUUGAUAAUUGUGACAAUAAUGUAAUGUUUUUGAUUGAGUUGGAUCAUAUAUUGUUUUUAUUAAGAUAUAAAUAUUGCAUUGAAUAUUUCUAUGCUAAUAAGAAAGUGAGAAAAUAAAAGCUAAACCUUAAUAGAAAAAACACCCAAGGGGGAGGGAGGUGAAUUGGGGUUUAAAUUUUUUGUUUUUAAGCACAAUGAAUUCAUGUAAAGGAAUCACAAAUAUAAAGAAAUAAGGAUAAAAAAAACUUAGAUUUUAUAGUGGUUCGGCACCCUUUACUUAUGUCAACUCUCCUCAAGUUCCUAAUCGAGUGAAGGUUCCAUUAUACUUGAAGCUUCAACCAAGCGUCCAACCUUUCAGACCUAGAUUUUGGCUCUAAUGAGUUAUUACACAAUUCGUUCAAAUUUCUACUCACUUGAAGCUUCUAACACUCAAAUAAGAAGUUUAAAUCUGUCAACUAAGCUCAAUAAGAGAUCAAAUACAACUAAAAUACUAGGAUAAAUAACAAUGGUGCACUAAAAGAAUAUGCAACCGAGGAUUUUAAUGCAUCAAGGAGAGAAUGAGAGCUUUUGAAUCAAGAACUGGUAAUUAAACAAAUAAAUGUAGGUGUUCUUAUCUUCGUUAAUGAAAGAAAGCUCCCAAUUUAUAGGUUUCUAGCCUUGGGAGCCAAAAUAUCAAAAAAUAGCCUCGACUGGUCAAGCUAUAGGUCGAGCGGUUGACUAGCCAUUGGGCAAUUAAUGCAUGACCGGUGACUAAUAGGCCUCAACUAGACCUUGAUCGGGCCAUGACUGGGAAGGCAUACCCCUCGAUUAGGAAUGCAACACUACUAGAAGAGAGAGAAGAUUUUUUACAUCUCUCGAUCGAUCCUCGACCGGGAAGACAUAAACGGUCGAUCGGUACUUUAACCGAUUGAUCAGUGCCUUGACCAGUUUACCUUUUUUGGCCUAAAAAUCUGUCAUUUUUUUUUGUUGUUUUUGCUUUUAACACCUAGGUAAGGUCUCUAGUCACCGAGUAUGUCAAUUUUCAAACAAUUUGCUUAAGGUUCAUUUGAUAAAACUCGGAUUUUAAUCAAAUGUGUCUUUAAUGCACUUAGGAUAUGGAAAUCCUAAGUGUACCCAUGUAUUCAACUUACAAACGGUUCCUAAGAUUAAAAUAUCUUCUUUGUGCCUUGAUCUUGAAUCUAUUGGAUCCUUUGAUGAAUUUCUCGGAUCUUGAUCUUGAAUCUUGAAUCUAAAUAGACAGGACUAAGGUGGUGUUUGUUUUUUUUACUUAAUUCUAAAUAGAACCUUAAUACUUAAUAGCAUUAAAUAUUAGGUUAUUUGUUUUUAUAGUAUUUUAUUUCUAUUAAGUAUUAAAAAGUAAAAAAAAAAAACCAAUAUGUUAUUUUUUUUAUUUAGAAAAAGUUACAUAUUUUGGCUUUUUUUAUUUAGUAAAAAGUUUAUAAUAAGUCAUGAAAAAAUAAAAAAACAAACAACCUAAAUUCUAAAACUAAAUUGCUUUCAGCAAAAAGCCAAAAAAACAAACACCACUUAAGCCUCUUUGUUGUCAUUUUUUUCAACCUUGGUGCCAAUCAUAUGUCCGGUAUUAAUUUACUCAUGAUGUGAUCUUGAUUCAUUGAUUACGAUAUAGUUUAUUUGUGGUAGAAUUUUGGGAAAAUUAAUAUAAAAAAUAUCUAAGAAAUGAAUUUGAUGAUCAAAUAAUCCAAGAAAAAAAGCAUCAAAUUUAUGAUAUGUAUAAUGAAAGAUGCAUUUAAGUAAAUUAAUAAGCUCGAACCCUUCCCAAAACCAAGGAGACACGCAUUAGCCUAUUUUAUGUGCUUCACUUGCUGUAUAUUAGUAGGUGUAUGAAUAGAUUAAUCUUUCUGAAGAGAAAAAAGAAGAAGAAGAAGACUUGAGUGCUCCUUUUUAAAUGUUAAAUGACCUUCCCUUUGGAUAUCAUUAUAUCAACAUGGACUAGCUGGCAGCAGCCUGUUGCCUACUCGAUUGGAAUUAUGGAGCUUGCAUGCAAUGAGCUGGUGAUUCAUAUUUCACAGGUGGGAUGUAACUUUUUUCUUUUUUUAAUAAAUGAUAAGAAUAUCUCACAUAUAAAAUAAAAAGAGAAAAUUAACCUAUACGUGGAAACUAUUCUCAAUAAUAAUUUUUUGUUUUUUAAACAUAAAAAAAUAUGAAAACUCAGUUGCCUGUAAUUAUUUCCAAAAUAGGUUGUAAUAAUACCUUUUAAUUAUUUUUGGUUAAUUUUAUUUAUUAUUUGGAGCUAUUUUUAAAUGUAAUUUUAGAAAUAUGAAAAAUGAUUGAAAUUUAUAAAAGGGUACAUAAAAGAAUAUUUUGAAAACAUACAAUAUUCAAAAUUACCAAAGAAGCUUUUAUUAUACCAUAGUAAAAUUAUUUUUGAUAAUUAAUCUCAAAAACCAUCUUUUUAUAACUAUUUUGAAAAGUAUUCUCUAACAAACCUUAUGCUUUUAGGGAGGAAUGGUAAUAUUUUAAUAAAAAUUAUAAAAUAUGAAUAUUAAUAUUUUAGUAAAGUUAUAAAUUAUAUUUUUUUUUGUUAAAAACAAAUAAAUUUUUUUAGAAAAUGAUAAUAGUUAAUAAUAUCUUAUUUAAACUGAAUUAUGAAAAUAAGUAUAAUUUAUUUUUCAAAAUAUGCAAUAAAUGAAUCAAGUUUUGAUCACGUACACAUAUUCAUUCCCUAAUUACAAGUAUUCUGAACCAGUUUAGUCCCACAAAAAUUUUAUAAUAAUUAGCAUAAUUUUUUAGUUUUAAUUUAUUUUUAAAAUAAAAGCAUGGAACUAGAUUGAAUCUUUCUUGGGAAUCCCCAGCAAUGCUGGAGGUUGUGGAGUGGCGGGAAAUCAGGGUCAAUUUCAAUCAAACGUGUAUCUCUUUGUAUGCUUAAAAUAAAAAAAAAAAUCUCGAUAAAUCAUCUCUUUCAAUUACAAAUAACUGUUAUUGAAUUAUUAUUAUUAUUAUUAUUCGUAAUAUAAUUCAAUUAACUAUUUGCUGGACACCUACAGUGUUACACCCGACUAAGGGGAAAAGAAAAAGAUCAUACAAGUUAAAGUUAAUUAAUUUGACAAAAAAAAAAAAAAAUCAAAUUUGUUUCAUCAUCUCAAGAUGUCAAGGGUGAAGACUACUACUAUGCGCCAAAACUCAUUUCUUUGGGUCCUUACCACCAUGGCAAGCCCACCUCAAGGAUGGAGAAACGCUCAAGCUUAAAUUGGCAGAAGCCUACAUCCAAGAAUGUGUGCCAAGAGUGGAUGAAAUUUACCACACAAUUAGCGAAAGCAUUAGUGAGCUGAGGGGCUGUUAUAAUGCGGAGUCCACAAAGAAAUAUAAGGAUGACGAAUUAACCAUCAUGAUGCUGGUGGACGGGUGUGCUUUACUCUGUUACAUUUUAUGCGUUUGCUUAGGUUAUGGCCAUGAAGAUUUCAAUAUCAGAUAUCAGAAAAUGAAAAUUUGGAAGGUCCUUCGUCAUCGGAAACUGAAAUUGGCCGGAGGCUGGGUAGAGCAUCAGUUAGAGAUGUGAAGGAGGUUAUGGCAUCAUUUAGAAAUGUGAAGGAGCUGAUGGACGCUGGAAUCCGCAUCAAGCGCAAUCCUACACGUCACUUGAGGGACAUUUCUUUCCGUUCAAAUGGGAUCACCGCAUGCCUGAGAAUUCCUCCCAUCACCAUUGAUAACUCAACCAAGGCUAUGUUCUUGAACUUGAUAGCCUAUGAAAUGAGCUCAGACGUCGACCAUGACUUCAUCUCUUACCUUCGCUUCCUUGAUUCCCUCAUUGAUCAUGCUGAUGACGUUAAGGAGCUGCAGUCCAUCGGGAUACCAAAACAAUCUAGGAACCCACGAAGAAGUGGCUCAAUUCUUCAACACCGUGUCCGCCAACUUGGAAUCCAACUUUCAUGCUUACAAAGACGUGAGAGUGAAAAUUCGGAAGCACCUUCAGAGUCACUAUAACAGCAAACUGACGAUGUGGAUGACACAAUGCCUGGACACCUAUUUCGGUAGCCCCUGGACAAUCAUAGCUUGGGUUGGUGCAGCUUUGGCCCUAUUCCUUACUUUCGUCCAGACUUACUUCUCAGUCUUCCCUCAUUGAUGCAUGCCUGUCCUGUUUUCAACUAUCACCAUCUCAAUUAAGGUAGUAUCCACUCCAAAUUUCCUUGUUUUUCUCGCUAUCUGCAUUUUACCUAGUCCAUGUAAAUUAAGCAAAGACUCAUUGGCUUCAUGCGCUUUUGACCUUACCUCUUUUGUGUUUUUGGUUUCAGCCUAUUUUCUACAUUGCUUUCCGUGCUUAAAUUAAGUAAAGAAUGACUAUGUAGUGUGACCUUAGUUUGGUGUAUUAUGUGCUAUCGCAAGCAUGUGCUAUGCUUGUAUAUGCAUCAUCAGCAGUAUUAUGUUUGAUUUAAGUACGUAAAUAAAGAUAGAUAUAGGUGGAAUAUUUUUUUUCUAUGUUUAUAUUCCUGUUAAUGUAUUAUAUAUAUAUGUUAGGUCGGCAAUUUUUUUUAUCUCAUACCAUUUUUAAUUAAAUCAUUCUUAAACUAUAGUUACUAAGCCAAAAAUUAUAAUGCUCUAGAAAUAUAAUCAAUCUCAUUGUCGAAUUUUUCUAAAAUAAUCUCAGAAUAAGCCCAAUAUCUCUAAUAAUAUGUUAUUUAAGGCACAUAAUAUUCCAAAAAGAAAAUUCUGCAAAAGAAAAAGAAAUUUGUUGAGAAGUGGUUUAUUUUAGUUAAUAUGAACAAAACAACAUUUUGUCCGAUGGAAAUUUGACUAAUGCUUGUAAGUACCGAUUUGUAAAUAUUUGUGGGGGGAGUUUCUUUUGACAACCGAUGGAGCAAUUCAGGUCAUGCAACACUUAUUUGACAACAUUCUAAAAUAAUGUUGUUAAAAAUAUUUAAGAAUGGUUCUGAAAAUAUAUUUUACUUGUUCUUAGGAAUAAAAUUCAACUUAUUUGACAAUAUUCUUAAGAAUAUGCUUUAUCUGUUUUUACUUUUUAGGAAUAAAAUUCCAUUUAAGAAUUAAAAUAUGAAAUACGGCUUUUCAGCCUUGUCCUUCACAAAGGCAUGCGCAGUGGACCUAUAAUGCAAGUUCUUUUUUGUUCUUUUUUAAAACACUUGCAUAAUUUUCUUAAAGAUUAUUUUCAAAAAAUUUUAAAUUUGAUGUAAUAAUUCAUAAAAUUUUCCUUGCAUGUAAUGAAAAACUCGGAUUAUUUGUAUGUUAUAAAAGUUAAAAUUUAUUUAUUUUUAAAUUAAUUUUAUAUCAAAUAUUAUUAAUUAUUAUUAUUUUAAAAAAAUUAUUUUUUUUAAAAUAAAUAAAUUAUACUUUUAUAAAAAUAUUAAUAUCCAUAUUUUUAUAAUAUAUAUUAAAAUAUUUUUUUUAUGAAAAAUAUAAUUUUAUGACUUUGUUAUAAUAUUACUAUUCAUAUUUUACUAGACAUUAUUUUGUUUUAUUUAUUUGUGAUAACAAAAAAUAUUUUCAUUUUUAAUCAAACUUAAAUUAAAUCUAAUUAAUAUGGUAUAAAUUGAAUUUAUAAUAUUUUUACAAAAUAAAAAUGGAAAAAAAAAAUAAAACCAAUUUAUUCAAAUAAACUUUUUUUUUCUAAUUAUUUUUAAAAACAAUUUAUCUAACACUCUUAUUUUUAUAAAAUGUUAAAAAUAUAUAUAUAUAUUUAAAAAAAAAAAAAAAAAAAAACAUGUUCACACAAAAUGUGCUAUUUUUUACCAUUCAGGUGUUAUCCCUUACUGAUGUAGAUAAAAGAUACGCAUAAAAUUAAAAAUGAUUUUUGGACUGUUGCUAUUUUGAUGGGUUUUUUUUUUUUCAAAUGAAACAUGCUUUUUCCCUUUUUGCCCCCUCUCUGAUUGAGGGUUUGUUUUAUUUCACUCUCAUGGAGAGCCCUCUCCAUCUGCCAGCCAACCUGACAAGUCUGAACUGCUCUUUAAGUCUUUCAUUAAUGACACAACUAACUCUCACAGCAGGCGUUGUAAUUGAUAGAAUCAAGGACAGGACAUGGAGUAAUUUGUUUUACUCCAUUUGCCAACUAAUCUGACAAGUUUGAAACACUCUUUAAUGCUUUGUUUUUCGUCUUUCAAUCAUGACACACCCAACUCUCCAUCAGGCGUUGCAAUUGAUACAAUCAAAGAUGGGACAGGUAUUCAUAGAGGCUUCUUUUUUUCUACACCUCUAUAACCACCCAUUUAAGAUAACGUAUAUUUAUCAAAAUCAAACAUUUACUACAUAAUUGUUUGCGAAACCAUUGAACACUACGAUUUAUUACAUUAUAAAUAUAAACAAGCCAGAUGAACCCAGUCACUCACAACGUAGCCUAUCAUAAUUUCUAUUUUUUUUUUCAUUUGAAUUAAAUUAAAAUUUUCAUAAUAUAAUACUUUAAUUUUUAUUUUGAAAUAAUAGGUGUUGCAUAAUUUGUUUUACUUUACUGGUAGGUUAUGAAUUAUUAUUAUUAUUAAUAUAAUUCAAGUAACAUUUUGUUGGAAACUCAAAGCUUUAUAUGUGACCAGGUAGGAAAAAAAAACACCUAUGAAGACCUAAAAUUAAUGUAAUACCAAUUCAAAUUAUAUAGACAAGUGAGAGGUAAGUGAAAACAAUAAAUAAGAAGAAUAAAAAAGGUGAAAAAUAACAAAUAAAAAAAAUAAGAGAGAGAGUUGAUUAAAUUUUAAAUUAAUAGUGGUUAAGUAUAGUUAACCUAUAUAUUAAGGGAUGUGAGUAAAAUUAAUUUUUUAAAAGUAUUGAAUGUAACCAAAAACAUAAAUAAGGUACUAGAAGUUUUGAAUAAACGUGGAUGUGAGAAAUGGUAUAUUCAUCAAAAUCAAAUAAAAUUGUUGAGAAAACUAUUAAACUAUGAUAUAUAUAUAAUGUAUUAGAAUCUUAUAAAAAUUAUAAGGACCUAUUUAUUAACAAAGUAUCUUACCAUAAAUUUUUAUUUAAAUUAAAUCAAAAGAUUUGACAAUAAUGACUUGCUAUUUGUUGGGCCUAUGUGUGCAGAUCACAGGAUUAUUCGUCAUUGGAUGUUGUUUGGUCACUGCAGUUUACACAUUUGAGGAUGUUUGGUUUAGACAAGUGUCACUGACAGAUUUGUAAACUUAUUUUUUAAAGUAUUUAGGGUUUAUUUAAUCUAUAUUUUGCACAAAAUUGGCAAAGAGAAGAGAUUGUUAAUUAGUGCAUUAGACUACUUGUUUAGAUUUACAAUUUUAUUCAAUUCAUUCUAACUUAAAACUUUUCUAGGCUACUAUGUUUUAUUCUUUAUUGAAGAUUUAAAAUUACUACGUGAUCAAUCGAGAUAAUACAGGCAAGUGUAAAGAUGUACAAGAAAUGUUAAUUGAGAUUGGUUAUAGUGUGGAAUGGAUAGGCUUUUGAUUUUAAAAUUAUGAAAAAGGUGAGUGUUUUUCGAUCCCAAUGCUCAAGCACUCCUUAGACUACUUAAAUGCUUAAGCCAAAAUUAUGUGAAAUUCUAAAAUAUUGUUUUUUUCAUAUUUUGAAUAAUGUUUUUUUUUUUGGGGGGAAAUUUUAGAUGUCAUCCCCCUCUUUUUUUUUCUCUUUAAUGCAAACUUUGAAAAAAAAAAUUAGUCCGAGUAUUAGUUUUUCCACAUUCUAAACUAUUAGAAGUUUGUUUUCUCAUUCAUGGGUUUGUGAGAGACAUCUACAUCCAUUUUAGGCAUUGAAGUGGUCCUCUGAGUGCAUGUGUGGUGCUGCGUUAUAAACGUGAAAACUAAUAUAUGUAUUAAGGAGUAAGACUUAGGAAUAACAUCGAAAAUCUAUAUACCUUUUGUUUUAAUAGUGGAUUUGUACUUUGCAUAUUUUGACCUUGUGAUUUUUACACCUGCAUAAUCUUUAAAAGACUGGGAGUCAUUUCCAAGUAAAUGUUGUUAUAUCUCCAACAUAAUCUUUGAAAGACUGUAGGAGUAGUUUCCACGUAAAUGUUCUUAUAUCUUCUAUAAUUGAUUUUUCUUUACAUUUCAUAAAUAUUAAAAAGGAAAUAAAAAUAAAUAUUUUAGGAUAAAAAGAAGUAAAUACCUGUUGACUUCCUUUAGUUUCAUAACCAAGAUCUACAAACCAUGAGUGUUGCAUGUGAAAAGAAAUAUUUAUUUAUUUUGGGCUAAAAUAAAUAUUUUUCUUUCAAUUUAUUUUACUGUAAUGGUAGGUGGUGAAUUUAUUUUAGUUCACAUGUGAAAAGAAUGGGCCCUCAUCUGCCAUUUUGGACAAGUUGGUUCACUGAUGUGAUGGUAAGGUCAAUUUGUAGUGGAAAGAUUAGCUUAAUUUUGAGUACUCAUUAAAAGGUGGAGAUAAUCUUGUUCUAGACAAAAAUUAUUCAAUCAGUCCAAGAUUUUUUUAAUCUUUAUAAAAAUAAAUAAAAUCUAGAUAUGGAAUCAGUCACGCGGAUGCUAUAAAAUCUGAAAAUAUACCAAAUCAAUGUCACAUCCCAUUCAAAUUUUGAAAAAGAUAUAAGAUGAAUUAAUAAAAUUAUAUGAAAGAAUGUAAAAUACAUGUUGAAAAGUGAAAACGAAUAAUUACAUUGAAUCAAAGAUAAAAAUUGAAAACUGAUGCGUAGAAAGAAAAUGACCUGAUGACUUGGGGAAAGAAAAGGGAUUCAAGUCAACUUUUGACACAAAAAAAAGAAAAAAAAAAAGAAAGUAUAGAGAUAUCUAGUAGUACUAUCUCCAGCUAUCUCAUUCUCAUACUAACAAUGGCUGGGAAGGAGGUGGUGGUUUCAGUGGAGGAGCAGCAGGAAGUAGCUACUAAACAGUCUGAAAAAUCUGCGGAUGGCAGUGAUCAUUCGAGAACCUUGGCUGACUUAAAAUCCAAAUUUCGCCGAUCUCCAUCAUCACCGUCAAGUCCAAAGCUACAAUGUCCCAAGGUUCCAAAGAAGUUGCGAUCAGCUGUCAAGGAGGAAGACUACUAUGCCCCAAAACUCAUUUCUUUGGGUCCUUACUACCAUGGCGAAUCCCACCUCGCGAAUGGAGAAACGCUCAAGCUUAAAUUGGCAGAAGCCUACAUCCUAGAAAUUACUGUGUCACAAGGGAACUCAGUCGAGCAGUCAGUCGAUAACAUUUACCACAUGAUCAGAGAUCGCAUUGAUGAGCUGAAAGGUUGUUAUGACUAUCAGGAGUCCAGAAAGAACUAUAAGGAAGACGAAUUCACUGCGAUGAUGCUGGUGGACGGGUGUGCUUUACUGUGGUACAUUUUAUGUGUUUGCUUAGGUGGUGACCAUGAAGAUUACGAUAUCAGAUAUCAGGAUCUAAGCCUUCUUCACCAGGAUGCGUUGCUGCUGGAGAACCAACUUCCCUAUCAAUUACUACAGGAGCUGAUGAAGAUGGCGGUCCCAGAAUCGGCCAAUAAAGCUUGGACAGUACUAUUCCAGGAAUUCUUUGGCAUGAUCGACGAGUCAUUCUUCCAAGAAUUCUUUGGUAUAAAGGAGAAGGAGUACUCAUUCCUGCCAAAAAUGAAGAAUUAUUGCUGCCGCAUGUUCCUGGCAAUCAUCCAAAUUAUUAACAGGAAACCAAAGCUGAAACCUGGUGAAGAGUCGGAGCCGAAACCUGAUGUAGAGUCGAAGAUGAAACCUGAUGUAGAUUCGAAGAUGAAACCUGAUGAAGAGUCGAAGCCGAAACCUGAUAAAGAGUCGAGGCUUUGUCAUCAUCUCCUCGAUCUCUACCGAAGAAAUUUCCUAGGCGAUGAACGUUCUAGCGCAACGCAUUCGGAGGCUGAAAAUGGCAAGAAGGGUCCGGGAUCAGUUGGAGAUGUGAAGGAGCAGGUUAUGGCAUCAUUUAGAAAUGUGAAGGAGCUUAUGGCCGCUGGAAUCCGCAUCAAGCGCAGUCCUACACGUCACUUGAGGGACAUUUCUUUCCGUUCAAAUGGGAUCACCGCAUGCCUGAGAAUUCCUCCCAUCACCAUUGAUAACUCAACCAAGGCUAUGUUCUUGAACUUGAUAGCCUAUGAAAUGAGCUCAGACGUCGACCAUGACUUCAUCUCUUACCUUCGCUUCCUUGAUUCCCUCAUUGAUCAUGCUGAUGACGUUAAGGAGCUGCAGUCCAUCGGGAUACUCCAAAACAAUCUAGGAACCCACGAAGAAGUGGCUCAAUUCUUCAACACGGUGUCCGCCAACUUGGAAUCCAACUUUCAUGCUUACAAAGAUGUGAGAGUGAGAAUUCGGAAGCACCUUAAAAAUCACUACAACAGCAAACUGAAAAUGUGGAUGACACAAUGCCUGGAUACCUACUUCGGUAGCCCCUGGACUAUCAUUGCUUGGGUUGGUGCUGCUUUGGCCCUUUUCUUUACUGCCGUCCAGACUUACUUCUCAGUCUUCCCUCAUUGAUGCAUGCAUGCCCUGUUUUCUCGCUAUCUAUUGAGUGCUUCUGCAUUUUACCUAGCCCAAAUUCAUGGACUCCAUAUAACUCUUUGAUGGUUGCAAAGUAAAUUAGGCAAAGAGUCAUUGGUCUCGUUUCUUUUCCAUUUCAGCCUAUUUUCUACCUUCCUUUCCGUGUGUAAAAAAGUAAAGAAGGAAUGUGUGGUGUGAUCUUAUUUUGGUGUAUUUUGUGCUUAUGUAUGCAUCAGUAAUAUUAUGUUUGAUUUAAGUAACUAAAAAUUGAUAUGGGUGUGGACUAUUUUUUCUAUGUUUGGAUCCCUAUUAAUGUAUUAUAUUAGGUUGGGAAUUUUAUUUCAUUGAUGUUUUAGUCCGAUACAACUUAUUUCCUCAGAUCUUAAUGGUUGUGAUCGAAUUAAAAUUAUUCAUCAGUUCGGUAUGAGGUAAGUGUUUGAAGAAGUAAGAUAGAGUAAUGAAAACUUGUAAAAAAAACACAACACAAAACAAAGUGAAGAGUGGAGAACAACCUCACUGGAAUGUAGAUAAUUUAAUAGAUGUAAGUCAUUUAUUCAUUUUUAAUUGAGAAAAAAUAAAAUAUUAAUACUAUUGUUAGAAAUUUAUUUAUCAUAAAGUUUUCUUGGAUUUCGUACAAAAUAUAUCAAAGAAAUUGAUAUUAGUUUCCAUGAACUUAUCUCAAGUACCAUUUUUUGUCGCAAAGAAGCUUCCGAGAAGAGGAUUUUUUUGAACAAAAAUAAAGGAGGGGAGAAGGUAGAAGGUGUGGAAUAGAAGAAUGGGGAAUGGUAUUUAAGUUAUAUUGGAGAUAAUUAAUGGAUGGAUGUAUUGAUAUGAUUUUUAUCUUCUUAGAUGAUUGCGUAAAUAGGAUGAAUGCGUGGAAAAUUUAUUCGGUGGAAGCAAAUAUAAAUUCUCUUUUUAAUCUCAAACAAGAGAGUAGUAUUUUUUGGUGAAGAAGGGUUUAGUAAUUUAAUCAAUUUUUUUUAUAAAAAAAAUUUUAUUUUUGUUUUCAAUUUUAAAAAUGAUUUUGGAAAGUUUGAUUGUGAUGUCCUACAUCGAAUAAGAAAAAAAGUUUAUGACGAAGUAUGAACUCUUUUUAACUUUGUAAAUAUGUUUUAAAGUUAUAAUGACCCUUUUUGACUUAAAGUAGACAAUAAUUACAUGAUUAAGUAUGAGUUGUUAUAAAAGACACAUGAGAGUCAUUUUGUUUGUUUGGUCUCACAAUUUUAUAGGAUACAACAAGGACGUUGUGUUUACAUAAGGGGUGAUUGUGAUGUCCUAUAUUGAGGGGUGAUUGUGAUGUCCUAUAUUGGAUAAAAGAGAAAGUUUCUGACAGUACAUAUAUGUAAGUUCCUUUGAACCUUAUAAAUGUGUUUUAAAGUCGUGAAAACCUUAUUGGGAUCGAGCAAACAAUAUGUAUAUGGUUGAGUGUGAGUCAUUACAAAUGAUACUAGAACUAAUCUUUUACCCUUGUGUGGGAUUUUGUUUGGCCCUAUGAAGGGUGUCUACUUGUUUAGCCUCGCAAUUCCAUGUAACACAAUAAAAAAGUUGUGUUUGCAUGGGGAAGGGAGACAGUGUUUGUGAUGUCCCACAGUGGAUAGAGAAAAAAAUUUCUAGCACUAUAUAAAUAUAAAUUCCUCUUAAUCUUAUAAAUGCAUUUUAAAGUUGUGAAAGCCCCUUUGAAUCUAGAGUCGACAAUAUCUACAUGGUUAGAUGCAGGUCAUUAUAAAAAACACAUUAUAAGUCCGUACGGACUCCUUUAGAUUCAGAAUAGACAAUUUCUACACAAUUGAGUGUUAAUCAUUACAUUGACUUAAUAAUAUUAGGUUUAUUUUGAAUAUAUUUAGGGCUUAUAACUUUUGGAAAAUAUUUGUUAUAAAAAUAAUUAGGAAACUUUUAAGAUGAAUUUAGAAGUGAAAAGUGUUUGCAAAAAGUGGAAAAAUCUCGGAUAAAACAAUGUCAUGUUAUCUACUACGAUUUUUUUUCUUUGCUUUUGUUGAAACUCUUUUUUGCUUCCAACCUUUUACAAGGACCAAAUACUAGUAGUUUCUAUUAAGCAAAACAACAAAACAGGACAUAGGGCACAGAAUGGCAAAAUAUAGAAUGAUAGAAAUCUAUUUUCAUUAAUAUUUCCAUAAAUAAAAAAUAAUAAGAUAUUAAUAAUAUUUUAUUCUCCUCAUUUAGAAAAUAAUAUUUAUUUUAAAUCAAUCAAGACCAAUCAAGAAUAUUUUAUUCUCUUAAUUUAGAAAAUAAUAUUUAUUUUCUUAAUUUUAGAAUAUUUAUUAUUUCUAUCUUUCUAUAAUCCACAAUGCAUCAUUGUAUAAAUUUCUGAAAAGAGAAAAUAAGAAAAUCAUUUUCAUUGUCUAAUUUUCAAACUUUUCAUGGUAUUAAAGUUAGGAUAGGAGGCUCGAAUUUGAGUUUUUUUUCAAAAAGUGGUCAAAUGUCAUAAAAGACUUAACCUACCCUCACAAACCAUAUCUUCAUUUUCAAAAAUAAAAAUUGCCUAGUGUUUUAGUCUUCCAUCAAUAUUCUUUCUAGUUUGAUUUCAAUCAAGUUAAACACCACAAAUUUUCUAUUGUGGUGAAAUCAAAUCAUCCUCUUAAUUCAUGGCUUCAAUGUUCUAGCUUUUCAUCAAUGUUUUACACUUUCAUUAGUGUUAUUUCUAGCUUAUUUUAAUCAAGCUAAACACCAUAAAUUUCCUAUUAUGGUCAUCCUUUUAGUUUGUGGCAUCGGUGUUCUCCAACAUCUCUUAGGUGAAAAAAACCUAUUGAAAAAAGUUAAAGAUGAUAAAGGAAGCAAAAGUUCUAUCUUGUAAUACCAAUUAUUGAUCGACAAUGACAAAUUUAUCACUUCACGAAUUCUUGGAAUCAUGAAAGAACAUAUUUUAAGCAUGAUCUUUGGUGUUGACAUGGUAUAUGAGGUAUGAACUUUUCUUAAAGAGCAAUUGCUUUAUGUUAUAGUUGAAAAAAAAAAUCUACUGAAAAACUUUUAAAAGACUUCAAAUAUAUAUAUAUGACAAUCUUGUUGUAAUCAAAAGCCAAUUUUAGACCAUGUAAACGUCCGUCGAUUUGUUCAUGGUUCAAGAUAAAGGUAUGAAUUUUUUUUUCACCUAUAUGCUUUUCUAGCCAAUUUAUAGUAGCUCUUCAAGAACAUAAAGAAUCACUCACAACCAAAAAAGAGGAGAGAAAAUGUUCUUAGAGCAUGAACAAUUUUUAUUUAGAUGAUAGGGUCAUGAUCAAAAUGGUUGAGAGGGCUCCACUCUUUCUAUGUGUUACGAUUCUUAUAUAUAUAUAUAUGCAUGUUUUUAUCAAGUCCUUGUCAAAGGAUGUCUUCACUAUGUUUCAAGACAAGUUGGGGAUCCAUAUUCAUUCUCACUCCAUCUUGAGGGGCAUGAUUAAGGAAAUAAAAUAAAAUAGGACAAAUGACGAAGAAUGGCGUGGAAUGAUAAGUUAAUCCAUCUUAGUUAUUAUUUCCAUAAAUUAAGAAUAACCAAAUAUUAAUGAUAUUUGAUUUUCCUAAUUUAAGAAAUAAUAUUUAUUUUAAAUAAAUUAAGAGCAAUCAAAUAUUAAUGAUGUUGGGUUAAACACACUUUACCUUCUCAACUUUUUCGUGGGUUUUACAUUUUGUGCCCUCAUAUUCAAAAUUCAACAAUUUUCCCUCCAAACUUCUUAAAAAUUAGCAUUACACAUUUUUGUUGGAUGACGUUACAUCUAUUAAACAAAAAAUGACGCGCUUUACACAUGACUUAAUAAGUAAAGAUGAAAUUGUCAUUUGAAACACUCAAAACCUUAAAUCCUUUUCAAUUUUUUUUUGUUCUUCCUCCAAACUCUUCAAUCUCUAUUUUUCUUCCUCCAAAGCCCUAACUUCCCAAAACCCUAAAAUCACAAAAACCCAAUGCAACCAUUGAAGGGCUGAGAAUUUGAUUAAAUAUAUGGAUUUCAUUGGUAGUUUUUUUCUUUUCCUUGUAAUUUUUUGCUUCAAUUUUUCUUUGAUAGCUAAGAAAAUUUUGAGAAGAGAAUAAAUUUUGAGUGAUGAUGUGUUUAAGGUUAGAGUUUCCUUUUGAUAGUUGAGAAAAUAUUGAGAAAGAGAACAAAUUUUAGGUGAUUAAGGUUAGAGUUUCCUUUUGAUAGUUGAGAAAUUUCGUAAAAGAGAACAAAUUUAGGUGUUUAGGGUUUUCUUUUCAUAAUUGAGAAAUUUCCUUUUCAUAGGUGUUUAUCUCCUAUCAAUUUAGCUUUCUUAUGACAUAUCUUAUUAUUAUUAUUUCCUUUUCAUCAACAUUGCAUCUAUUGAUUUACCUAAUAUGAAUUUUGUGUCAUAUGUUUGCAAAUCAACAAUGACUAUUUUACCAUCAAACUACAUUAUGAAAGGAGGUUUAGGCGGGAGAAAAUAAAGGCUAAUAAGAAAAACACCUAAUAGAGAGGUGAAUUGGGUUUUUCAAAAAGUUUUUCAACACUACAAAUUUAAGCACAAUAGAAGCAAAAAUAAUGAGAUAGAGUUAGAGAAUUCAAACUUAGAUUUUAUAGUGGUUUGACACUUCCUUACCUACGUCCACUUUCCUCAAGUUCCUAACCGAGUGAGGGUUCCACUAACUUGAAGCUUCAAUCAAACUUCUAAUUUUCUUUACACUUGGAUUUUGACUCCAAUAGGCUCUUACACAAUCACUUCAAGAUUCAACACACUUGAAGGCUCUAACACUCAAUUUACAAGAAUGAUCUUCUUUCAACCUAGCUCAAUAAUGGCUCAAAUACAAAUCAAAGCUAGGAUGACUCACAAGGGUACACUAAAAGAUAUGCAAGUGAAGACUUAAUGCACCAAGAAAGAAAUGAGAGCUUUUAAGGCAAGAACAAGUGGGUAGACAAUUGAAUGCAAGAGUUCUCUAUGUCAGAAAUGAAGUAGAGCUCUCAAUUUAUAGGUUUCUAACAUCGAAAGUCAAGAAAAAUAAAAAGCAGCCUCAACCAGUCGAGUUGGGGGUCGACCGGUUCACUAGUCGUUUGAACAUUUAAUGCUUUGGUAGGUUAUUGUUGCCUCGACCGGACCUCGACCAAAGGUCGACCGGGAAUGAGAAUACCUCAAUCGGGAAGGAAAGACUACUGGAUGAGAGAGUGUUUUUAACACUUCUCGACCGAAACUCGACCAGACAAAGGCAACCAAUCGAUCGGUUCCUUGGUCGGUUGAUCUAGUUGGCCAGUGUCUUGACUAGUUCAACCUUUUGACCCUGAAAACCUAUCUUUUGUGUUUUUCUCUUUUCUAACACUUAGGUAAGGUUUUUAGAUAAAUUAAUAUGCUAAUUUUGAAACAUUUUGCCUAACGUAUAGUUGAUAAAACUCGGGUUUUAAUGAAAUUAUAAUUUUAAAUAAUAAACCGAGUUUUCUAAAGAUGCAUGAAAAGAUAUGUAACACCUAAGUGCACCUAUGCAUUCAUCUUACAUUUGUUUCCUAUGAUUAAAAGUCUUCCAAAAGUCUCGAUCUUGUAUCCAUUAGGUUCUUUGAUUAAUUUCCAAAUUAAUACUUGAGGUUCUUUACAAUUCAAACCAAUUAGUAACUUAACCAUGGUUUGUUAUCAUCAAAACCUGAUUAGGAGAAUAUUUGAGCUAACAAGGCGUAAUAUGAGACUUGUACUUAAGAUUAGUGAUUAUUUGGGUGGAAAAUUGGAUCAUGUUGAUAAUUGUGACAAAAAUGUAGUGUCUUUUAUUGAGUUGGAUCAUAUGUUGUUUUGAUUAAGAUAUAAAGAUUGCAUUGGGUAUUGCUAUGCGAAUAAGAAUGGAGAAUUGGUAUGGUGCUUAGCAGAUUAAAUUGUCUUAGAAAUGUGAAACUCAUGUCCAAGGGAUAAGAAAAUCGAAGUGUUUGUCAAGCACACAGAGGUUUUAUAUCUUGCUUAAAGUGAAAUUGGGUCUUCAAAUGUUUAUAGUCAUCUUGGUGAAAGUGUUUAUGAAGUUGAAGACUCUAGGACUAAUGUAGAACUAGAACUUGAUGUAGAUCAAACACCUCAACAUGAAGAUAACAUAAAAUCAUAAUAUGAAGAGGUUAGGAGAGAUUCAUCUAGAGAUAAGUGACUUUGAUGAUGAUGAGUAUCUAGUUAGUGAUAAUGAUGACUUGUAUGACAAUUAUGUGGAUGAUAAUGAAGAGUGGGUUAGGAUAAGAGGCAAAUAAGAUAACGAGGGAAGAGUUGAGAAGGAAAGCAAAACAAUGAAUGAUGUGGAGGAUGAAAAAAAAACCUUUGUGAUGAUGAUACGAGGAGUUUAGCUAGUGAUAGCAAAGAGGAAUUUAAUAGAGACAAGCCUCGGCACCCUUAAUUUGUGGGUGAUACAGAUAUGACAAAUCCUAAGUUUAGGGUAGUGUUACUAUUCAAAAGUGUAGUUGAGUUUAGAGCUACAAUAAGGGAAUAUGCCAUAAAAAUUGGUAAAAACAUGAAGUUCAUUAAAAAUAAGAAUGACAGAGUAAGGGUAGUUUGUUCAACUAGGUCCCCUUGGGUUGUUUAUGCAACUCAAGUAAGGGAUGAUAAGAAAUUACAAGUAAGGACUUAUAAUGUAAAACAUACUUGUGGUAGGGCAUUCAAAAAUGAUAAUCUCACAUCAAGGUAUUUUCCUAUAAAAGUACUAACUAAUUCAAACUUAAGAAAGUAACUUACCUUAAAAUACUAACUAAUUCUCCAUAUAAAAAAAUAUUUCCUAUAAAAGUACCAACAACAAAAGCAGCAUAAUUAAAUACAUUUUACGAGUAUUACUUCUAAAUAGGUAUUGGCUUCUUUUAAUUAACAAGUUAAACCUUAAAACAAAUCAAAAGACAAGGAUGUUAAACAAUUCUCAUUUAUAAGAAGUUGAUAAAUUUUUAUAAAAAAAAAUAGAGGUUUUGAUAUUGACAUGGGGAUAUAUCUCAAAACAUUUUAAAAACAUGAUAAAAAAGGACGAGGUGUCAGAAGGAGAUCGACGAAGGUAACAAGAAUUUAUUCGUCCGUAUAUCCUACCUCCUUUUAGUUAGUUGAGUCGUGCAUCAAAAAAGUUCCCAUAUCACACUAUUUAUUUUUGUUUUUCUCUUUUUUCCUUUUUUUGUUUUUUUUUUCAAAUUUAAUGAGAUGUGAAAAUUAGGUCUCAUGGAACUUUGCGAAGUUGACCUAAAUUGGGCUUUUAAAUGUACAGGCCAGGCCCAAACCACACCAUAACCCGGAUGUACAAGCCAAAAGUUAAUGGGCUUAGUCUUUCUCCAAUUUUUAGACACGAAAUGUUCCUCAUUUCAGCUCAUUAAUGUACUGCCAAAAGUGAUUGUAUGUGCAUACAUCAGAGAAAGUAGGCAGUCAGUUGAUGACAUUUACUGUGUACUUAGAAGUUAAAAAAUGAAUGUGUGGUCAUUGUCAUGUACCAGCAAUUAAUUUUGAUUAAAGUAAAUAAAGAUAGUGUGGGUGAAAUAAUUGUUAUAUGUGGAUAUUAAUUCCCGAUGAUGUAUUAUAUUAGGUUGAUAGUUUUUUUCAUUAAUAUGCAGUACUAGUCGCAUACAACUUACUUCCUUAAGUCUGAAUUACCAUUAUCAUUUUAAAUUACUCAAACCUGUUCGAUUCCAAAACUAGAUGAUAUAAACGUUCGAAGAAGUAAGACAAAAUCAAUGAUAACGUAAAAGUGAAAAAAAGAAUUAAAAAAUGGAGAAAGACAUGAACUUUGGAAAGGCACUAGGAAAAGUGAUGGAAAUAUAGUUCAAAAGUUUUGCAGAUAGUUCAAAUACAUUUGUAACUUAAGAUGAAUAAAAGUAAAUAUAAGUUCAAAUUAAUGAACAAAUAUUAUUUAAAAUUAAUGAGAAUAAAUAUAUUAAUUUAAUUAUUUAAAAUAAAUUUUAAGUUAAUUUUAUUCAAUAAUUUUAAUAUUUAAAUUUAAAAGGAAGUUUUAAAUCAAUAUUAACUUAAAAUUAACUUAAAUAAUUAAGUAAUAAGUUUUACCCGACAUCCUUUUAAUUAUUCACUAUUGAUUCAUCUUUCUUUUACCAUUUCUCUUAUCCAAUUUAAAACAUUAGAAAUUCAUCCAUUUAUGUUUUCUAUUUAAUCUCUUUAGCAAACUCACCGUAUUUGAGUAGUUAAAUUAAAUCAUAUGUUUCCCACUUUUUGGGAUUUUGAGAAAAAAUAAAUAAAUUUUAAAAGAUAUUUAUUAAAAUAUGAUAAUUUUAAAAAUAUUUUAAAAUUUAUAAUAAUGGAUAAAAAAAUCCAAUUGGAAAUGUUUUUGAAGCAUCAUAUUUUAAUAAAUAUUAAAAAAUAGUUUUUUUUCUUCUUUUUUUUUUUUCCCUCAAAAUCCCCAGUUCUUGAGCAUCACUCUCCCACUUCUAGUUAAUUUGCAACCGCAUGUUCCAAUUUCGUUUGUUGAUGAGACAUUUCAAUAAUCUCAUUUAUUAUUCGAACUGCUCUCACAGGUUUAGACGUUUCUUUGCCUUGUGCCUUGGCUAAGGAUAAUCUAGUUUUUUCUUAUCAUGCACCAUGUUAAGGUAUGGGAAAUUGUCUUAAACAAAAAUAUUGUUCAGCAUUUAAUGCCCAUUAGACUUAAUUUCAUUUACCUUCCCUUAGAUUUUUGCUAAUACAUUUGAUUCUUAUAAAUUUAAAAUUUCAUCAAAUAUCUUUUUUAUUUCUUUUUAUUUUUUAUUUUCAUUUACCUUUAUUCUCAUUCAAAAUAAAUAAAGUAUAUAAUAAAAUUUCAAAUUUAUGAAAACCAGGUAUAAUUAGUCAAAACCUUAGGAGAAUGAAAUUAACUCAAUCCCACUGUAUAUUCUUGUAUGAUUAAGUAUUAAGAUGAAUAUAAUAUAUCUUUAAUAUGAGUAUAAAUAAAUAUAAUAUCAAAUUAUAUAUAAAAAUGAUAGUUCAAUGUUACUAGGGAUGACAACUGGGCGGGUUCGAGCCAGGUCACCCGCGUCCCAACCCCGUCCCGUUUAUUCGAAACAAUUCUCAUACCCAUCCCAUUUAAAAAGUUAAACGGAGCGGACAGGUACGACCAUUUAACUUUUUUUUGAAUUUGAAUUUGAAUUUUUUUUUAAAUUACUUUGAAAAAUUUUAAUUAUAUUAAAAUAAAUAUAUUUUAUAAAUAAUUAAAUUAUUAUAUUUUUAUAAUUUAUUUUAUUAAAAAUAUUUUAUUAUUAUCUAUAUAUUAAAAAUAGUAAAAUAAAAAUUAAAUUAAAUUAAUCUUAAAUUUUAAAUUUAAUUUAAUUUUAUAUAUAAUUGGGACGGGGCGAGGGCGGGCAAUACCCGAACCUCGCCCGGGUUUUUUAAAAAAUAUUUUAUUAUUUGAUCAUCGAACCUCCCAGAAAUGAAUUGAUGAUCAAAUAAUCCAAGAAAAAAAGCAUCAAAUCUAUGAUAUGUGUAAUGAAAGUAAGUAAAUUAAGAAGCUCGUGUUAGGCAUGAACCUGUAUCAUAUGAACCUUCCCAAAACCAAGGAGACUCGCAUUAGCCUAUUUUAUGUGCUUCACUUGCUGUAUAUUAGUAGGUGUAUGAAUAGAAUAUUAAUCUUUCUGAAGAAAAAAAAAAAGGGAAGAAGAAGACUCGAGUGCUCCUUUUUAAAUGCUUCCCUUUGGAUAUCAUUAUAUCAGCAUGGACUAGCUGGCAGCAGCCUGUUACUUACUCGAUUGGAAUUAUGAAGCCUGCAUGCAAUGAGCUGGUGAUUCAUAUUUCACAGGUGGGAUGGAACUUCCAGUUUUGCCACUUUUGUGUUUUACUUUUUUCAUAUCCUCUCCUAUUCUAGUUUCUUCUCAUUCCUUCUAUUUUCUGGACGUUGUCUUUCGUUCAAGCCUAUAAUAUGUUGUCAUGUAAUAAAAAACUUUGUAUCAUUUAUAUAUUAAAAAAGUUAAAUUUUAUUUAUUUUUAAAUUAAUUUUAAGUAAAGUAUUCUCAAUUAUUAUUAUUAUAAAUAAUUAUCAUUUAUUUUUCACAAAAACUCAAUUGUACUUUUAAAACGAUAUUAAUAUCCAUAUUUUUCUAAUAUAUAUUCAAGUGCUAUGGUUUUUUUUUUUUUAAAUGAAAAAUGUAAUUGUUUAUUACUUUUAUUGUAAUAUUAUUAUUUAUAUUGUACUAAAAACUAUUCAUUUAAAAUUGAUUUCUGAUAAUAAAUAUCUAUUUUCUUUUUUAAUAAUGCUUAAAUUGAAUUCAACAAAUAUCAUAUCAAUUGAAUUUAUAAUGAUUUUACAAAAUCAAAAUAAAUGAAAUUUAAAAAUAAAUUAUCCAAUUAAUUUUAUUCCUUUUUUUUCUUUCAAUUUUUGAUAAAUGUUUUAAAGAACAAUUUAUCAAACGUUGUAAUUUUUAAAAAAUACCAAAAAACAAUUUUUUGAUAAAAACAAACAUGUGGCAAAAACAAAUCUUAUACAUCUAAAAAUAAUAAUGGUUUUCAUUUUUAUAAACUACUAAAAAACACUAAUUAUGAAAAAAAUAAACUUGAAAAAACAAACUUUAUACAUUUUAAAAUAAUCAUGAUUUUAUGUAUUUUUUUUAUUAAAUGUGAUAUCUUUUGUCGAUCAUGUAUUAUCUUUUAGUGGUUAUUUUUUUUAGCCCUUCAUAUUUAAUGUAAAUAUGCUAAAUCAUCAUAGGUUUUGAAUUUGGUCAACUAGAACCUUAUCAAUACAUUUUAUAUAUAAAUACUGCAUUUUCAUUUAAGAUAUUUAUACCAGAAAUCUCUGAAAAAAAUAAAUUCCCAAUUGGAAGGGAUGCUAAUAGACAGUUUAAAUUGAUUAAGUAUAUUUAUACCAAAUGUUAAUGGUGCCAAUGAAAUUAGCCCCAUCUUUUUAGGAUACGGAUGAAAGUUACACAGAAGAUUAAAAUGAUUUUUGUGCCUUUUUUUAUGUUAAAUGAAAAAUACUUAUUCUCUCUUUUACCCCUAUUUGAUUGAGGGGUUGGUUUAUUUCACUGCCAGCCAACCUAAUAAGUUUGAAACGUUUUUUAAAGCUUUGUUUUUCGUAUUUUAGUAUUGACAAACCCAACUUUCACUUCAGGUGUUGCAAUUGAUAGAAUCAAAGACAGGACAUGGAUCAAAUUAGUGGCGCAAGCAGCAGACAAGGUAUGAAUUGAGGCUUCUCUUUGAUACACCUAACCAUGUAACGUAUAUUUAUGAAAAUCAAAUAAAAUUAUUUGCAAAACUAUUAAACAGUAUGAUUAAUACAUUACAGUUCUGUACAAUAUAUAUCAACCCAAUUACUCACCGCGUAGCUUAUUAGAUUUUUCUAUUUUGAAUUAAAUUAAACUGCCAAAUGCAAUAUAUUUUCAGAUAUUUGUAAACUCUAAUUGAGAGUGUCAAAGGUUUAUGCAACAUAUUUUGUAACUAAACUACCAAAUGAGGAAUAUUGUUAAUUAUGCUAUUCGUAAAGUCUUUUAGUAUUUGAGUGGUACCAUUAGCUAUGGUCUGUGUUAUAAUGGAUUUCUAAGUGUCCUUUUAGGAAUUAGUAAUGCAAUUUUGAUCUUGAAUUUAGAUGAUAUGAAAUCCACUUACGGAUAUGUUUUCAUCCAUGGUUGACGUGCAGUUUUUUGGAAGUUUACCAAGCAAACUUGCAUUACUUGGUUCACUGUGGAGGUUGAGUUCAUUGCUUUAGAAAAAGUAAGUUUUGAGGGUGAGUAGCCUAGAAACCUCUUAAUAGAUAUCCCUAUAUGGACGAGACUAGUCUAGCCCAUGGCCAUGCAUUGUGAUAGGCACGUUGCAAUUGCUAAGACUAGGGAUAAAAUACUUAAUGGGAAGAAUAAGAAUAUAAGCCUAAUGCACCAUAUUUUGUAGUAGCUACUUGAAACAUGGGUAAUAUGCCAAGAAAUUGUGAGUUAGGAGUUUAAUUUGGCCGAUCUUUGAUCAAACCAUUAAAUAAGAAACUAGUGGAAGAAACAUCCAAGGGAAUGAGACCUAUGCUUAGUAUAAAAGUAAAGAGUGGUGGUAACCUAAUUUAUUAGAAUGCAAAUUUUGUAAAAUAGGUUUUUAUGAGUAAUAACAAUUCACUUGUUGACUUGAGCUGCAGUAUCAAUAUUAAUUGUAUUAGAGCCUAUCCCUAUUGUGUAGAUAGAGUGUAUUUUGCAUUGACAAACGUUGAGUGUUUACUUUUAGUAAAUAUCAUAUUCCUUGUGAAUGUUAUGUUUAAUGUAUAAUAUACUUGAUGGAUUUCCUUCUAUGAGAUUGUAGGUGGGGUCGUAGACAAAUUCUUAGGAGCUCUCAUGAAUAUUCAAGUAGGGCUCAUGGUCAAUUUGUGCCAACCUAUUUUAUACAACUUGGAGUUUCAUAAAAAAACAUUGGUUCAUAAAUAUUUAUUCUCAUCGUGUUUUAUGUUCCAAAUGUCGCCGACAUAGCCUUCGUAUUUGUUGUGGUUGAGAUUGGUGUUGAUCCGCUCCGAAUUCAUGUAUGCGAUAGUACCCAUCGAUGAGUUACACGGAUCUAUGGUCUCAACCAAGAUCUGACUCACUUCAAAGUCGACGAUCUUCACUUGUCGCCUGGCAUUGAUUAGGAGGUUCAAGGGUUUGAUGUCGCAAUGUUUGAUUUCCCAACGAUGGAGGUAGUGGAGGCCAAAGAGGAUCUGAAAAGUGAGAUUCGAGAGAGCGAGCUCGAAGGAGAAAAUACAAAGGAAAAACACUAUUUCCCUCUAUAUUUUCUUAGCUAUAGAAGAAAAAACUAAAGCAAAACAGUGUAAAAAAAAAAAAUACUAGUAAAAUCCACUUCAAUCAAACUCUUAGCUUUCAAUGUGUGCAUUUGGAAUUUGAGGCUUUUAGAGCUUGGAAGGUUAGGGUUUCAAAUGAAGGAUGAAGAUGAAGAAUUAGGGAGAGUUCUAUUAGGGUUUUUAGGUGAUUGAAUUUACAAAUCUACCCUUAUUUAUUCAGUCACGCAUGUGAUAUUUUUGUCUAUUAAAACUAAUACAAUCUAAUAAAAAAGGCAAAGUAUUGGUAUUUAUGAAGUUUGGAGAGCAAUGUAUUCAAUUUUGAACCUGAAAGGACAAUAAACAAAACAUGUUUUAGGUUGAGAGGGUAAAAAGUAUAUUAAACUUUGAUAAUAAUAUUUGAAAGUAGUGGUGCAUAUAAAGAAAAUCAGUGACACAGAUCAACCCACGUAUUUUAUUGUUUGUUAAAAAAGAAUUUACAAGUUUCCAAUGCAAUCAACCAUGAUCAACUAUCAAUUCUAUAUAAAUUAUAUUUACAACUAGUUACAUAUUAAUGACUUCAGAAAUAAAUACAAUUCGUAAUGCAGCAGGCUUAUCUGCCCUUCUACUUCUCCAAAAGGAUAAGCUUCUUGUACAACCAAGUUGCCCAACUUCUCUUUAGAAAAACGCAAUACUGCUGUCUGCCAUUUUUUAGCUUCUCUUCUUGUUCCAACCAUAAACAAGAUUUGUCAUGCUUAAAUUCCAGUUUCCGAGCAAUUGCAUGUACAUCAAUAGAUGGGUUUCUUUAGCUUCUCUGCAAAAGGCUGAACGCUUUGCAAUAAUCUUCUUCCAACAAAAAGUCAAAAUGUACCCAUCGAUCGAUAUCUUUUCUUUAAUUUUUUUCUUUUCAUCAAAGUGAAGAAAGGAGAGUACUUUUAUGUCAGCUUUAUUCAUAAAGUCUCUAAAUGGAAUCAUGAUGUAGAAUGAAAAUCAAGUGGAUGCUUUAUCACUGGUUCUUGGACAGAUGGGAUUCUUUGUUCAUUCAUGAUUCAACCCAUCAAUGUCCAUUUAAUUUUUUUUAAUUUUAUUAUUAUUAUUAUUAUUAUUAUUAUUAUUAUUUUUGCUUUAAAAAUAAGUAAGUAAUGUGAAUAGGAUUUCAAAGAUUCCUGCAAUAUCACCUUUACAAAUUUUAUUUUUUUUUUAUUUUAUUAUUAUGCCUUCGAGGUGUGGGAUUGACCUUUUUUUAUUUGAUAAGAAGUAAAGGAAAGUAUAGCUGUUUAAACUUUAAACAGAUGAUUCAUGAAAAUAUUUAGUGAUUAAGGGUUUGUUUGGUUGCCUUUUUUGAGAACUAUUUUUUGUUUUUAAAAAUAAAAAAUAUUAAAAAUAUAUUUGAUAAAUAUCUCUUUUUUAGAGAAAAAAAUAUUAUUUUUUUUUAUUUUUUGACCAUUGAGAGAACUAAAAAGAAAGGCAUCAGAGAAGAAUUGUUCUUUAUAUUUUCUUUUUUCUAUUCUCACUUUUUCCUAUAUGUAGUUUCUCAUCCAAGAUGAAACAAAGUGAAACCAUUUGUUUUUUUGUUUGUUUUAUCAUAUUGAAACCUUUAUUUUAUUUUUGUUUUUUUUUUAAAUAUAAUUUUCUUUUGGAAUUGGAUUAUGGAAUCAUUUCUCAAUUCUAUUAUUCAAAUGGGAUCUAGGUGGUUUUUUAAUUCCAUCAAGUGUUUUUUGUUUUUAAAUUUUUCUCGUUUGGAUGUUAAGAAAAUUAGGGAAAGAUAAGGAAAAGAAUUUGACAUGAGUAGAAUUUUUUUGGGUGGUUUUAAGUAGGAUUUUUCUUGGGUUAUUUUUAGGAUUUCAAUACGAUUGCUUAUUUAUGUUUGUAAAUUCUCUUUUGGUAUAUUCAAUUCUAGAAAUGAAGUUAAACGCCACGCAUCACAUUUAAAAAUUCUGUCAACAUCAACACAAUACUUUUCAAAGUAUUGUGAAUUUUUUUUUAAAGGUAAAUAAAAGAAUAUCUUCAAAUAUCCGAAAUUAUUCAAACAUGGAGGAAAUAUAUUCUUUUGAAAGAAGAGAAAAUGAAAAGAAAAACAAAAUUGACAAAAGAAAUAGUAGUGGUUAGGCUUGGUUUGAUUACAGCCUAUGCAGGCAAGUUAUUAAAGAGGAGGUUGGGAUGGGCCUCCACAAAAGCAAUUCGCCAUUGACGUGAUUAAAUGCAGCCGAAAGUGUAAGAUCAAGCAUUCAAAGCUCUAUAUAAAAUCACAAAAUCAUGUGGUUGCUUUGUUAUUCAUUCAACCCGUCAUUGUCUUUUUAAUUUUUGUAAUUUUUUUGCUUUAGAAAAGUUAUAAAUAAAUAAAUAAAAAGUAGUGUGAAUGGGAUGAGAUUUAAAAGAUGGGUACCAUGGAAUCACCUUUACGAACUUCAUUUUUUAUUUUUUUAAUUAGGACUUGGAGACUUGGAAUUGACUUUCACCCUGUCAUUGUCUUUUUAAUUUUUGCAAUUUUUUUUGCUUUAAAAAAGUUAUAAAUAAAUUUAAAAAAAAAAAAAAAAAAAAGUAUGAAAUGGGAUGGGAUUUCAAAGAUGCCUACCAUGGAAUUACCUUUACAGUUUUUUUUUUUUAAUGAGGACUCAAAGAGUUAGGUGGCGUUUAUUUUUUAUAUUUAAUUUUAAAUAAAAUUUUAAUAUUUAAUAGUUUAAAAUAUUAGAUUGUUUAUUUUUAUAGUAUUUUAUUUUUGUUAAAUAUUAAAAAAUAAAAAAAAUCAGUAUAUUAUUUUUUUUAUUUAAAAAAAUUAUAUAUUUUGAUUUUUUUUAUUUAUUAAAAAAUUUAUAAUAAGUCAUAAAAAAAAUAGAAAAAUAAAUAACUUAAAUUUUAAAAAUAAAUUACUUUCAAUAAAAAACUAAAAAAAUAAACACCGCUGAGGGAUUGACUUUUUUAUUAGAUAAGAAGCAAGAGAAACUAUCGUUGUUUGAAUAGAGGAUUCGUAUAAAUAUCUACUGACUUGACUCUUUUCCAUGUACACAUGGAGUACAUAAGAAUCGAAGGACUCGUUUUGUUUUGUUCUUUUAUUUUAAAUUUCAGAACAAGGCUUUGAGUUUUAUCUAGAAUAAGGUAAUUUUGCAUCUGGAUUUGGAUUUGUGAUAUUUUACCUCAUGCUUUUCAUAUUCGCAUAGUCUUUAGGAGACACGAAAACAUCAUUAUAUGUUUUGUAAAGGACCUUUUUUGACAUUCCCCAAUUAUUAAAAAGUUUGGAGAAGGCACGGCCUGUAUUUAAGGAUACACAGGGUCUUGCUAGUUUUUGGAGAAGGACAGCUUACUCGAAGCUGCUUUCAAGCAGUACUACUUGGGGGAACCUUUUCAGGUAUGGCGGCUGUAAGCUUCUUUUUAUUUUUUUAUCAAUUUGCUCCAUGUUCUGCCCAUUUUCUGGAUUGAUGUGGAAAUUAAGGUUUAAAUGGUGUUUUUGCUGAAUCUGAAUUUGUUUUCAUACUUUGUUUUGGUUUUCUACUGAUCCCUUUUAUUUUUCCUCUAAAUACCUAACGUUUGGAUUGUUCUUGAGUUGGAUACUUGCUAAUCAUGCCACAGCUCUCUGCUUGUCCCACUUACGUUCAAGCCCAUGGAUAACACAAUGAAAUGUGGUUCUCUCUAACUAUUUGUCUGUACCACUUUUGUAUUUUACUUUCUUCAGAUCCUCCCCUAUUCUAGUUUCUUCUCCUUCCUUCUAUUUUCUGGACAUUGUCUUUCGUUCAAGCCUAUAAUAUGUUGUCAUGUAAUGAAAAACUUUGUAACAUUUAUAUAUUAAAAAAGUUAAAUUUUAUUUAUUUCUAAAUUAAUUUGAAGUAAAGUGUUCUCAAUUAUUAUUAUUUUAAAUAAUUAUCAUUUAUUUUUCACAAAAACUCAAUUGUACUUUUAAAACGAUAAUAUCCAUAUUUUUCUAAUAAAUAUUAAAGUGCUACGCUUUUUUUAAAAUGAAAAAUGUAAUUUUUUAUUUUAUUAUUAUAUUAAUAUUUAUAUUGUACUAAAAACUAUUCAUUUAAAAUCGAUUUGUAAUAAUAAAAAACUAUUUGCAUUUUUAAUGAUGCUUAAAUUGAAUUCAACAAAUAUCAUAUCAAUUGAAUUUAUAAUAAUUUUAUAAAAUCAAAAUAAAUAAAUAAUUUAAAAAUAAAUUAUCCAAUUAAUUUUCUUUUUUUUUCUUUCAAUUUUUUAUAAAUGUUUUCAAGAACUGUUUACCAAACACUGUAAUUUUAAAAAAUACAAAAAAAAACUCACUUGUUCAAAUCUUGAUCUAUAAAUGUGAUACAACGAAUUUUGUCACAAUCUUCUCUCUCUUUUUCUUGAAUAUCUUCAAUUAAUUCACGAGGCAUGUUGUUUAACUCUAGUCUUCGAAGAUUUUUCAGUCUCAACAAUCCACUAAAAAGCCUUUCUAGUUUACAACAAUUGUUAAUUUGCAAAAUUCGUAGACAAGGCAUUACUCAUUUCUUCACUUUCAAUUUUCAACCACUCUAAUUGGUGCAACCAAUCUAAUUUUAGUAGCUCAAGUCUAAGGAACCUUCCAAAAAGCAAAACCAAUUCAUUUCCCACAUAUGCAAAACUCAUUAAUUUAAGAACCCUCACGUUUGGCAACAUAAUUAUAUCCCUUGUUAUUCAUCCUUUUUUACAUUCCUCAAUUAUUAGGAAGGAAUUAAAAACAAAUAUUUUGGGCUAAAACGAAGUAAAUGCUCUAAAAAAUAUUAGUGUUGCACAAUUUAUUUUACUAUAAAGGUAGGUUAUUAAUUUGACAAUUUUAAUAUAGGAAAGCAAUGUCACAUCCCAUUAAAAUUUUGAAAAAUGCCAAAAAUAAAUUACAUAAAUUACAUGCUAAAUUACAGGAUUGAAAACAAUGAAACAUAGGAUUGAAGUUUUUACAGAGAUAUGUGGUAGCACUCUGUCUAGAUAUCUUAUUCUCGCACUAACAAUGGCUGUAGAGAUCGAGAUGAAUCCUGCGGAUGACGGUAGCCAGAUUAGAACCAUGGCUGACUUAAAAUCCGAAAUUGAUCGACCACGAACCAUGCCUGCAUCAGCAACUGUAAACCCACGAUGUCCCAAGGUUCCAAAGUCGUUGUUGCCAUCAGAUGCCCAGGGUUCUGAGCCUUCUGACGACCACCCUUAUGAGCCAAUGGUCAUGUCUUUGGGUCCUUACCACCAUGGCAAUCCGAAGCUCGUACGUGGAGAAAAGAUCAAGCUUCUAUUGGCGCUAGAUUUCUUCGAUGAUUUGAAGCAACCCAGCACUGUUGACCAGCCCGUAGACCAACCCGUAGACCAGACAAAAAAGAAGGUAGUCGAUGAAUUGUACAGCAGAAUUAGCAGUGUUGUUAGUAGGUUGAGGGACUGUUAUGAUAAGGAGUCGAUAGAGAAUUAUUCGAAUGAACAAUUCAGUGUGAUGAUGCUGGUGGACGGGUGUGCUUUAAUGAGGUACAUUCUUUAUGCUUGCAUUCAUCGUGACCGUGACCAUGAAUCUUUCGAUAUCAGAUAUGAGGAUCUAAGCCUUCUGCAUAGGGAUGCGAUGCUGCUGGAGAAUCAACUUCCCUAUGAAUUAAUCAUGGAAGUGCUGAAGAUGAAUAAAACAUGGAAUCCUUCUUUUUGGAAAAUGCUAUGCGUGGAAUUCUGUGGCAUGACCCUGUGGGAGGUGGAGCCAUACUCAUUCCUGCAAAAAAUGAAGAAAUUUUGCUGCGGCCGGUUCCCCGCAAUCGGCCAAAUUAUUAACCGGCAGCGGAGGCCAAACCCUGAUGAAGAAUCAGGGAGAAACACCAAUGAAGAAUCUGGGAGAAACACUGAUCAUCUCCUCGAUCUGUACUGGGAUAAUUUCCUAGGAGCCAAAUGUUCUAGCCACUUAGAUUAUUUCCUAGGAGCCAAUUGUUCUAGCCCAACGCAUGGGGGGGAUAAAACUGACUGUAUGGGAUCAAUUGUUGAUGUGAAGGAGCAGGUAAUGGCAUCAUUUAGAAAUGUGAAGGAUCUUAUGGCCGCUGGAAUCCGCAUCAAGCCUAGCCCUACACGUUUUUUGAGGGACAUUUCUUUCACUUCCAAUUGCGUCACUGCAUACCUCAGACUUCCUCCCAUCACCAUUGAUAAGUCAACCAAGGAUAUGUUCUUCAACUUGAUAGCCUGGGAAAUGAGCUCAAAUAAGCCCCAUGACUUCAUCUCUUACCUUCGCUUCCUUGAUUCCCUCAUUGAUGAUGCUGAUGACAUUAAGGAGCUGCAGUCCGCCGGGGUACUCCAAAACAAUCUAGGUACUCAUGAAGAAGUGGCUAAAUUCUUCAACACUGUGUCCGCCAAGUUGGUAUCAAACUUUCAUGCUUACAAUGAUGUGAGAGUCAAAAUUCGGGAGCACCUUAAAAGUUACCGUAACAGCAAACUGAAAAGAUGGUUGACACUGUGCCUGGACACCUACUUUGGUAGCCCCUUGAAAAUAAUAGCUUGGGUUGGUGCUGCUUUGAUCCUGUUCCUUACUGCCGUCCAGACUUAUUUCACAGCCUUCUCUCAUUGAUGCAUUCAAGGCCUGCUUUCUCGCUAUCUAUUGAGUGCUUCUGCAUUUUACCUCGCCUAAAUUCAUGGACUCCAUAUAACCCUUUGAUGUGCAAAGUAAAUUAGGCAAAGAGUCAUUGGUCCCGUUUCUUUGCCAUUUCAGCCUAUUUUCUACCUUCCUUUCCGGAUUUAAAACAAGUAAAAAAAUGAAUGUAUGCUGUGAUCUUAUUUUAGUGUAUUUUGUGCUUAUGUACGCAUAAGUAAUAUUAUGUUUGAUUUAAGUAACUAAAAAUAGACAUGGG